This 54497-nucleotide long non-coding RNA is filed under the name Brassica rapa (field mustard). Its description in RNAcentral is "long non-coding RNA (BRAP_LNC004559)". Lineage: Eukaryota; Viridiplantae; Streptophyta; Magnoliopsida; Brassicales; Brassicaceae. The record is from RNAcentral.
ACACAUAGAUCCGUGGAUCCAUACAUCUCGAUCCGAAAAGAAUCAAUAGAAAAAGAAAAAAUCGGAAUUGAUCGAUCUCUUUCUCGAAACAAACGAAAAGGAAAGAAAAGACGAAACAUAAAUCAUGGAUCAACUAAGCCCUCUCGGGGACUUGCUUAAGAAUAAGAAAGAGCAAUCUCAUGUAAAUACCAUGGAAUAAGGUUUUAACCUAUUCAUGGGGAUUCCGUAAAUAUUCCAUUCAAAAAAAAAAAAAAUUGGUUUUUUUUUGGAGAUUGGAUGCAGUUACUAAUUCAUGAUCUGGCAUGUACAGAAUGAAAAUUUCAUUCUCGAUUCUACGAGAAUUUUUAUGAAAGCCUUUCAUUUGCUUUCCCCAUGAUAAGUUAAUAGAUUGUGUAUCACGCAUAUACCCUUAAUAAUUUUAUAUAUUAAUAAUUGAAUUCAUAUAUUAAUAUAUAAUUCGUCUCUAUUUUUAUAUAAAUAAAAGAAAAAUAACAUGUUGAUUAUAUCAAAAUUAUAGAACAAUUAACGAAUUUUAACUUAUCAUGGGGAAAGACACUAUUGCUGAUAUAAUAACCUCUAUACGAAAUGCUGACAUGAAUAGAAAAGGAACAGUUCGGAUAGGAUCGACUAACAUCACCGAAAGCAUUGUUAAAAUACUUUUACAAGAGGGUUUUAUCGAAAACGUAAGGAAACAUCGCGAAAACAAUCAAUAUUUUUUUAUUUUAACCCUAAGACAUAGACGAAAUAAGAAAGAAUCCUAUAAAACGAUUUUAAAUUUAAAGAGAAUAAGCCGACCGGGUCUACGAAUCUAUUCUAACUCUCAACGAAUUCCACGAAUUUUAGGCGGAAUAGGAAUUGUAAUCAUUUGUAUCUUCUUCUAUAUAUAUAUUUUCGGAUUAUUAUUUCAUUAUUAAAAUCGUAACUAUAUAUAUAUAUAGAUUAGUAAAAUAUUAUUUUAUUAUCAUAUUCAAAAAUAUUACACAUAUAAUUAUUUGUUUUAUUUACCGGAUCAGGGUGAAACAACCAUAGUCAGAGAAAGAUCUACAUCUCGACCCGCGCAAAGGUUUUUGUUUUCAUUUAUUUUUAUAUAAAUAUUUAUUAUAAUAAGUAUUUUGUUUUAUUUACCGGAUCAGUGUGAUGAAUAUGUGAUUUUCUAUUUAUAUAAUGUGCAAGAAGUUGAAAAUUAAAACUGCCGGUUUAAUGUUUCUUUACAAGUGAAAUGCUUCAAGGGGAUGUGUAAGAUGUGGAUCAUCACUUGAUCAUAUAUUAUAUAACGUGUAAGUGAAUAUAACAAAGGUUCUAAUGCAUUUUUUAAAUAACAAACAACUCAUAUUUACAAUUCUAGAACUAUACGUUAAUGUUUUAGUCUAAGGACUGUUUGUUAAUGAUUUAUAUUUACGGUUGAGCAAAAACGUUGAUGCAUUGGUUUGAUAAUGAUUUACAAUUACAAUAAUUAAGGAAGCAAAUGUUGGUUUGUAAACCAAACCGAAAUUGUAGAUGUGUAACAAAAUUUUAGGGAAUGAUAUAAUAAGCCAUAUUAGUAGUAAUAAAUGAAUAAAUGAUAACUGAUUUCUAAUGAUGGUCCACUAAGUCCAUUUUUUUUUAAAAUCACACAUAAAUUAAGGUUGUGACUUCUGUUUUAAUAUAUAAGAUACACAUAUUUAGGAGUAUUAUUUAAAAACAAAAAAAAAAUCUGUAAAAUAAAUAUAUUUAUCUAGAUUGGGUAAUUUAGUCAUUUAACAUAAAUAAAAAUGUACUUUUCAAAAUAGAUAAAUGGAAUGAUAGUUUUCAAAAUAAAAUCUCAAGUAAAUGUAUUUAUCCAAAUUUUCCCUUAUAAUAAAUCAUAUGUAUUUUUUUAGUUAGGAAUUAUACUAAUUAAUAUAUUAUUGUACAAAAUUUCAUGAAAAUGAGUAAUACAAAUUUUAUUAUUAGUAAACUAUGAUACUUGAUAUAAUAUAAAAUAAAAAUGAGUAGAUAAAAAUGUGUUUCUAAUGUUUGAGGUUGGGAAUGUUGCAUGUAAAUAAAUAAAAAUAAUCUUUCUAAACUUUAUUUAAAAUAAAUUAUUAAAAUUCAGAUAUCUAUACUAUUAUUUGCGAAGUAAAUUUUUGGAAUCGAGAUCUCACGUUAAAAGUUAGAGCGGUUAAUAUCUAUAAUACCCUUAAUGAAUUUUAUAUAUAAUUAAUUAUAUAAUCAAAAACGAAUUUUGAUUAAUAAUAUUAAUUUUUUUAAAAAAUAAGAUAAUUCUUAUAUAUUGUGUUGUUAUCUUAAAACAUAUUUUCCAAUUAUAAAAUUUAAAAAUAAACUAUAAAACAAUUAUAAUAAAUUCAGUGGUUAAAGUUAAUGUUAUCUUUAAUAAAUUUUAAUUAAACGUAUAUAUUUAAUUAGAUUUUUGUCAUAUAUAUAUAUUUUUUUGAUUUAAUUUUUUUGAAAACAUAAAUAAUAAGUUAUUAUGCUGGUUUUUGAAUUAAUAAAAAAUAAACUAAUAAAUAUUUGUAAACGAUUAAGCCCGCAUAUGCGGGCAAGACACCUAGUUAUAAGUACAUACUAGUGUUUUGCCCGCACAUGCGGAUAUACUUUUCUUACAAAUAAUUAUUAGUUUGCCAAAUACAAUAAAUAAUUAUUUAUGUUUUAACAAAAAGUUUAAAUCAAACAUCAAUAUAUAUAAUAAAUAUUUUCAUCAAAAUAUAUGUUUAUUAUUGUUAUAAACUUUUAAAAGCAAUUAUAUAUUAGAAAAUUUUUAUAUCUUAAUUUUUAUAAUAAAAAAUAUUAUUUACAGAUAACAAAAAAUAUAGAUAUAUUAUAUAUAAGAAUUAUCUUUUUUUUUUUAAGUAUGAUUUUAUUUUGAUGAUUUUUUCAUAUUAGUUUAUAAUCAAUUAGCUAAUAUAACUUAUAAUCUAAUAUUAUUAAUACAUAAUUCUUUUUAAUGAUGUAAUAAGAAAACAUAUCUAAAAUCAUGGAAAACAUCACAGAUAAACAAAAUCACUUUUUGAUUGAUUAAUAUUUAAUUAUAAAUUAUUCUAUGUCUUAAUCUUUUAUAAUCGAAAAUAUCUUUUUUUAAAGAGAAAAUGACACAAAGAACACUAAACCAAGUUUUCCUCCCCAAACUAGCACUCAGGAUCAGAAAUCACAAAAAUAGGUUUCAUUAAAGGGGCAAUUUACCCUUAUGCCCUCUUCUUUAACUAAUUUAAAAAACAAAUUUGAAAUCAAUUGUCGCCGUCCUCGUUUCAUCGCUUCUUCUUCUCCUCAUCGCUGUCUUUCGUCGUCGUCUCUCCGUCGUCGUCGUCUCUCCGUCGUCGUUUCUCAAUUGAUCUGUCGUUUCUACGUCUAUUCAUCUCAUUCUCUCUCUCGUGUGUCUGAUUUGAUUAAGGUUUGAAUCAUUUCAUUUUGUUAUACAUUAUCUAGGUUUUGUUAUAUAUUAUUCAUUUGUUGAUGAAUUGAAGUUGAUUUUGUAGAACAAUGGAAGUUUUGUGCAUCUGUGGACAAUGGAUCUCAAAAGAAUCUCUCCAGUGGGAGUUUCUUGUUGAUUUGAAGAGGAAUGCAUCAAUCAUUUCCAUAGAAGAAGAUCUACUGUAUGAAGAUUUGAUGAAGAUUGUCUCUGAAGAUUUUAGUGUUAAAGAGGAAGAAAUCAGUUUGAGUUAUGGUUUUUCAUUGGAUAAGAAAUGUAUUAUUGAAAGUUUCCCCCCACUCUCGAUAGGUAAUACUCGUCAGCUCAGAACUUUCAUUUCCAAGACUAGAGCAUUUGAUGGAACCUGUCGUUUGUGUGUUAAGGUUUGUAUGAUUUUUUUCUUACUUAGACUUUUCAGGAUAUGCUUCAUAACCAAGUAUUAUGUCUUACAGAACUACUUGACUUUUGCAGGUUAGUACUGAUCCAGCUAGCUGUAACACUCAAGCUUCUGAUACAUUUGCUUCUACUGUUCCAUUGAAUGCCAAUCCAGCGCUUCUUUCUACUGUGCAGAGUGAAAAACAGGUACAUUGUCCUUAAUUCCCUUUUUCUGUUUGUGUUUGCAUGAUAUGCUUCAUAAUCAAGUAUUAUGCCUUACAGAACUACUUGACUUUUGCAGAGUUUUCUAUAUGAAGGUGUUUCUACAGUUCCUCUGAAUGCUCUUCCGGAUUUUAGUACUGAUUCAGCUAGCUGUAACAUUCAAGCUUCUGAUACAUUUGCUUCUACUGUUCCAUUGAAUGCCAAUCCAGUGAUUCUUUCUACUGUGCAGAGUGAAAAACAGGUGCAUUGUCCCUAAUUCCCUUUUUCUGUUUGUGUUUGCAUGAUAUGCUUCAUAAUCAAGUAUUAUGCCUUACAGAACUACUUGACUUUUGCAGAGUCUUCUAUAUGAAGGUGUUUCUACAGUUCCUCUGAAUGCUCUUCCGGAUUUUAGCCCUGUCCAUAUUGGACUUUCACCAAACACGAGAGUAGCUGGCGAUAUUAAGGUGAAUAGCUAUUUUAAGACAAAGAGAGAGUUGAUGUUGAGGAUGAAGAAAUGGGCUUUAGAGUGGAAGUUUGAGUACAAGACUGUCUCUUCUAACAAGUCAAGAGUGCUUUUGAGUUGUGUUGAUGAAAAUUGCACGUGGAGGAUGCGUGCUAUCAAGCUACCUGUUUCAGAUUUUUUCGUUGUUAAAAAGUAUGUUCAUGAGCAUACAUGCGAUACAACACACAGGAAAGCCAACCACAGACAAGCAUCUGCAAAGUUGUUGGGUUCUUUGAUUUCCAGCAAUUAUGGAGAAAAAAAGGAAGGUCUCAAACCGAAACAGAUCAUUGAACAGGUCAGGAUGCUGCAUGGUGUUCACAUCAAUUACAAACAAGCUUGGAGAGUGAGAGAAGAAGCUCAGAUUUUGGUUAGAGGGACUCCUGAAGACAGCUAUUACAAUUUGUCUAGGUGGUUGUAUAAAAUCACAGAAACAAACCCUGGUUCCUUGACUUAUCAACAUGUUGAUGCUGCAGGAAAGUUCAAGUAUGCAUUUGUGGCUUUUGGUCCAUCGAUAAGGGGAUUCUCAUUGAUGAGGAGAGUUAUUGCAGUAGAUGGUACAUUUCUGAAGGGAAAAUUCAAUGGGACUUUAUUGGCAGCUUGUGCUCAAGAUGGGAAUUAUCAUCUAUAUCCUCUCGCCUUUGCAGUGGUUGACGCAGAAAACGGCGCCUCUUGGAAAUGGUUCUUUAGAGGUUUGAGCCAGAAGAUCCCGGACGCUUCGGAUCUUGUUUUUGUAUCAGACAGGGCUAACUCCAUUUCUUCAGCGUUGGAGGAUGUAUAUCCCUUAUCUCACCAUGGAAUUUGCAGGAUCCAUCUGCUCCGCAACAUCACUCCUACAUAUGCGAAGACUGGGUUGCUACCUCUGGUGGAAAGCGCUGCUGAUGCCUAUACGUGUCACGAGUUCUGGUUAAUCUUCAAGGACAUAAAGGAUAAAUGUCCUGAAUUGGCUAAGUAUCUGGAAGAGUCUGAUUUUAGGAAGUGGGCACGAAGCUAUGCGCCUGCGAACAGGUAUAAUAUCAUGACUACCAACAUUGCAGAGUCUCUCAAUUCUAUGUUGAAGAUGCCUCGUGAGUUGCCCAUUAUCUCUCUCCUUGAAACUAUCAGAUUGACGAUGACCACUUGGUUUUUUGAGCGACGCGAAGCGGCUGCGAAACAUAAGCACCUGGUUACUCCAAAAGUUGUGCAGAAAUUGGUAUCUAGGUUAGGGGCCGCAAUGUUGUUGAAUGUGUAUCAAGUUGAUCGAAGCGAGUUUGAGGUGAAGAUGAAACAAUGAAGUUUGUUGUUGACUUGGAGAAGCGGCAUUGCACAUGUAAUGUUUUCGACAUUGACAAGAUCCCCUGCAUCCAUGCCAUCGCUGCUGCUAAGCAUAUCAAGAGAGAUGAAAACCGUUUUGUUGAUGCUUCUCACUUGACAGAAACGUGGGCUAAAGCUUAUGCUGAAAGCAUACAUCCUGGUGGAGAGUUGUCAACGUCCACCUAUCCAGAGAAUAUUGAUGAACUGUCUUGCCCACCUCCAGCUACCAAAAAGAAAAGUGGACGCCCUCCUACAAAGAGAAAGAGAUCCGUUGGCGAGUUUGGGGUUCCUGGAUCUAAAUCUCAGUCCCACAAGUGCAGCAGAUAUGGCACAGGAGGGCACAACAAGAUCACAUGCCAGAGGCCUAUAGGAUGAAGUUCUACAUUUUUACAUUUUUAUCGAUUAUUAUUUGGAUGUUGGCUAUUUGAUGGUUACAUGAUAUGCACAAGACCAUAUACAUUUUUUCUUUUGGAACCCUAUCCUGAAUAAGUAUGAUUUCUUCCAACUUUUGUAAUAUACAACAUUAUUUUUUGAUCUCAUUUCAAUUUUUAGUUUAAACUUCUUUGCUAGAAAAAAACACAGUAAUAUUCAACUAUUCUGGAAUCCCAUCCAGAAAUACCGAGUUCAUUUCCAAGGUUUAUAAUACAACAUUUUCUGUUAAGAAUAAUUAUGUGGAAAAGUGUAACAGAUGAUUCUCCUCAGUCUAGCGGCUAAAACACCUAUCUGUCGAAAUUGUAACGCUUGACUCGACCCGGGUUCGAUUCCCCUACUAAUCAGAGUUUUUUAAAAAAAUUUAAGUUGAAUAAAAAUAAAAUAAAUAUAUUACUUUACUUACAACAUGUAAUGACUGAAAUUAACUUGGCCUAGUGGCUACUACACCUUAGUUCCCUCUUUCCUCCUAGUCAUCUUCAGGUUCGAAUCCUAUGAGAUGUGUAUAUAUAUUUUUUUUCCUCCAAAAUUUGCAAAUCACAUUAUCAAAUUUUCCAAAUGUGUAGAUAUUAAUCCUUAGUUUUGAUCUCAUUUCAUUUUUUUCUAGUUUAAGAAAGAAGCACACUAAUAUUCAUGUAUAUUAUUCAUGCAUACUCUGGAAGCCCAUCCUGAACUAUCUAAGAUCUUUCCAAUGUAUUUUACUAUAAAUUCAAUUAUGUGGAAGCAACUAACAGAUGAUUCUCCUCAGCCUAGCGGCUAAACCAAGAAACCUAUGAUACCGAAACAUUUGUUCGACCCGGGUUCGACUCUCCUACGAGUAAUGGUUGAUUUUUUUUUUUUUGUUCAAACAUAUAUCUCAGGAAUCGAAGAGUCUCUUCCAAACGACAUCAUGUAACUCAGUAACCGAAGAGUUUCUUUUCGUCAAGAUUGGCUGUUAUAUGAUUGGUUAUUUCAGUAACUGACUUCAAAAAUCGAAGAGUUCCACAAUAAUCAAGAGUUUAUUUUAACUGACUUCAAUAAUCGAAGAGUUCCUUUUAGUUCUAUAAAUAUAAGGGACGAUAUCAGACCUUUUAUUCACUCACUUCAUUUCGUCUGAUUUAUCCUUUUGCAAUACAAGUUAGUUUUCGAUUUUUCUCAUUUUCCAUUCAAUUCAUGAACUUUUUUCUAUUUCUAUUUUAUCGUAACAUCUUAGUUUCGAUUUUGUUGCAGGACAAAGUUUCAAUGGAAGGAAGUUCAAAGAAGAUGAUGAAGCGUCCCAUAGAGGAGGUUUACGGAUGUGAUGCCGCCGAAGGUUUCAAUAAGGGGAAGAAGGAAACUGUGGUACAUUACAGGGCUCUUCUUCGUUUGUCCAACGAAUACAGGCUAUCUGAGAAUGAUUGGAAUCUGGCAUCCAGCAAAGCAAAUUCAAUUGCUGUCCAAAUCGAGUUGCUUGAAGAUAUUAUCAAAGCUGAUGGAAAAUUUGAUUUAACUGCUGAGUUGGAGAAACUCAAAGAAGAGCACUCGGAAGCGGAAGGAAUGCUUGCUGAUGUGAAGGUCAAAGUCCCUGAUUGGGAUAAACUUGGCGAAAGUUGGCUGUGUCAUGAGUAAUUUCAUGUUAUCAUCUUCUCUUUUUAUGUUUUUAAGGACCACAUUAUGUUUGAUUUUCAGUUUUUAUUUUAAAUGAAUAAGUACUUUUGUUUCUCUUGUGUUGUUUCUUCAAUUAACAACCUAAAUAAAAAACUUGUUCAAUGUUUUUCACUAUUUUGUAAUGGUUUGGCCUAGUGUUCUUGUAACUUGGUUAUCUGAUUUGCUUAUUUGUUUUUGGAAAGCCAUCCUGAAUACAUAAAAUGAUAUCCAGAUUAUAUAAAUCUAUCGUCUGUGAAUAAAUAAGUUCACAUUUACUCUGUUAUCGAAUAUCCACCGUAGCCUAGUGGCAAGCCCUUCUACUCUUAGUGUACCCUUAUCACACAAUAAGCCGUGUUCGAUCCCCGUUGUGUAUACUCACAUUUUUUUCUGUUUUUAAUUAAAUAUUCAAAAGUUAUUUUCGUUUUAUUAUAGCUUUUGGCAAGUAUAACACCCUUGGUACAACGGCUGCACACUUUGAUUCAUCUUUCGAGAGUUCACGAGUUCAAUCAACAUCAGAUCACAUUCUUUUUCAUUUUUUUUUUGUAAACUUUAAAGGAAUUUGUUUUUGGAAAGCUAUCCUGAAUACCUAAAAUGAUAUCCAGAUUAUAUAAAUCUAUCGUCUGUGAAUAAAUAAGUUCACAUUUACUCUGUUAUCGAAUAUCCACCAUAGCCUAGUGGCAAGCCCUUCUACUCUUAGUGUACCCUUAUCACACAAUAAGCCGUGUUCGAUCCCCGUUGUGUAUACUUACACUUUUUUCUGUUUUUAAUUAAAUAUUCAAAAGUUAUUUUCGUUUUAUUAUAGCUUUUGGCAAGUAUAACACCCUUGGCACAGCGGCUGCACACUUUGAUUCAUCUUUCGAGAGUUCACGAGUUCAAUCAACAUCGGAUCACAUUCUUUUUCAUUUUUUUUUGUAAACUUUAAAGGAAUUUGCUAGGCUUUGGUGCAUUUUGCUUUCUCACUCUUUUUCUGGAAACCCAUCCUAAAAGUACCAUAAGCAUUUGACAAUUCAUCAAUACAUCCUAAAAAUUUUUCAAUAACAAUCUAAAUGAAAAAAACGUUAGGGAUAAUUCAUUACAAACUGAAACUUAAACGUUAGGGAUAAUUAAUAUCAAAGUAGAAAAACAGAGUAGAAAACAGAGUAGAACAAAUAUGACAUUUUCACUUCCUUUGACCUUCCUGGAAAUCUUUAUCCAUAAACUGGUCGAAGAUCUCACAACAUAGCUUGCUUCGUAAGUCCAUCGCAGUUUCAUCAUUUAUAUUAGCCAUGCUCUUCAAUCCCAGUGACCUGCAUUCCAGCAUCUUCACAACAAAAAUACCACAGUUGUAUGGAAAUUUUGUCUUUGGAAGCCCUUCUGCAAACUUAACUUCAAAUGGACUGAUAUCUUCGAAAUUAACCUCUUCACCAAGAAGUUCCAUCUUUAUGGCACUAAUCAACACUGUCAUAAAUACCCAAAAUUAUACAAUAAAUCAAUCACCAACAGACAACAAAAUGAAUAUGUAAAAAUGCAUCACAAGCACAAGCAGCAAGUGACAAACUUUUAUUUUCUAAAUUAGCUAAAAUUCUUUUUUCAGGAUACGCAUACUUUCACAAUCCUAUCCAUUAUCAAUGUAACAAUAUAAAUUAAACUGAUUUUUCUACACUGAAUGAUAAAAUUAAUAAAUCACAAGAGUUUUUACCUGCCAGUUCUUGGAUUUGAUUAAGAGCACGUUUGAUAUUUGCUUUUGGAAGACCACAAUGGAAGAGUGUGAUUGUGUUGUCCAUCAAUUGUAUCUCCACCCCAAUAUAGUGAUAGCUCAACUUAUCUUCAAUGACACCAUAUAUAACAUCAACAUCUUCCAGCCAUACCUUCUUUGGAUGUAUUAAACCUUUCACAAGUUCGCCUACACAGCCCUCCAAUAACGUUUGUUUUUUCUUAUGUGGCUUCCUGACAGAUUCAUAAGCGUACCCAACCACUUCUAAGAAUUUGACUGGUACAAAGCAUGCUGCUGGAAGAUUGUUGUUGCGGAACCAAGCACCUUGCUCAACCCUCUUACAAUUUAGCAUUUCAAAUGCAACAUUUAUGUGCUGCCAAUGUAACAAUAUAGUUAGAAACUUCAUAUAGAACUGCUAUAACAUGGACAUCUAGCAUAGCUCAACUCAACCUCUUCCUAAACAUAUGACACAAUCAAAUAGAAGACAGAACAGAGUGUUGAUUACCUCUUUGUUGAGAUUGUUUUCUGCAUCGUCCAUUUUUUGAAAGAACUCUUUUUCAAUUUCUUUUCCAUUGAUAUAAAACGGUCUGUAGUUGAUAAAAUUAACUAGUAUCAAUCGAAACUUUUACAAAAUAAAUUAGGAAUAUUUAUGCGAGGACAAAAAGUUGCUUACACACGAUAUAUGCCCCGUAGAUCCAUCCAGUGUGCAAGCCUUGAAAACCGAGGAAAUUCAGGUGUCACAAAUGGAUCAAUUGGAAGGAUUACCUCAGGUGUUACAGGUAUAGGAGGGUUUCUAGGUCGUAUUGGCCUCUUCUCUUCUCGCUGUAGAAAAGGAAGCAAAUCUACUGGCUGAGCAUUUGCUUUCUUCUUCUUACCAACAUCAGGCUUCCCCUUUAAUUAAAAAUAAAGACAAAAAUUCAGGAUCGUUUUUAUCUUUAUACUUGAAUGCCUUCCUAAUAUGAAGUAAAAAUAUUUUUUAUACCUUUUUUGCAUGAUCGUCUUGACUUGGUUUCACACUCUUACCCUGCUUUACUUCCAUCUGUGAAACAAAACCGAUAUAUCAAACUAUUGACCUGAACUUCAAUUCAAGUGGAUCUUAUUCAUUUUUAUUACCUCUUUUGCCAUUUUCCCAACACCAUCUUCUGAUGGACCAGCUGCUUCAUUUUUCUUACAAGCGACAGCCUUCGCCUUCCCCUUUUUGAAUGACAAAAAUUCAGAUACAUUUAUAUCUUAAUUCCUAGUAUGAUGUAUAAAUAUUUCAUACCUUUUUAUCACCAUCUCCUUCACUUGGAUUCACACUCUGCGUCUGCUCUUCUUCCAUCUGAAAAUCAAUACCGAGAUAUUAAACAAAUGACAUUAUUUUUCAAUUCAAGUGAUCCAAGGCAUUUGUUUUACCUUUUUUGUCAUCUCCCAAACACCAUCUACCCAUUUUCUUGGUUUUCGCAUCUCAGAAUGGUGGAAGUAAAUUUGUUCUUUAGAAUUGUUCAAAGAGACAAAACACGAGCCAUCAAACAAAAUGACUUUAACUUUUCCAGCGCACCAGGCACCAUUGUCGAACGCCUCCACGUCCUGCAUUAGCUCAUAACUUUUCUUCGCUCCAGAUCUCUCAGGUGGUGGUUGAGGACGUAUUCUGUCAAUUGAUACACGUGUCUCAACACUCCUUUUCCUCUUCUUUUCGUCCAGAGACGGGACGGAGUACUCAACUUUCACCAUCUCAACCCCAUCAACCAAAUAUGUUGCCAACACAUUUCCUGGAUACCAUUUAUGACAAGUAUUGUCAUCUUGUGAUGAAAUCUCCACAUUUGCUCCGAUCUCAAAGGGAUUUUGAACUCUGCUUUCUACAUCCUGUGAUGGUUUAGAUUCAAGGAUAUCCAGUCAUUUUGAUAGUUGCUGUAUAUUUAUUAAAGGUUUUAAUGAAAGUAAUACCUUAUUUUGCUCUGUUAAAAGAUUUCUGCGAGCUCGGGUAUUUGGCUGUGUGUCGGAAAUGUUUGGUGAAAUGAUCUCAUUCAUAAGCUCGUGAGUCUCCUGAAUUCAGGAAUGGUUGAAUGAACACGUACAAGGGCUUCCAAAAAUUACUUGAAAAGUCCAAUUUUUUAAAGAAGGUACCUGCUGCGUCUGAAUUGGAGUAAGGACUGGAGUCUCAAUAUUCUGUUGAGCUAUUGGAGAACCAGGUGUCUCUUUCGUGAUCUCAUUCAUAGGCUCUCGUGUAUCCUGAAGUCAGGAAUGGGAUUAUGAACUCGUACAAGAACUUCCAAAAAUUAAUUUAAGUACAACCAAAUUCAUAAUUUUAUAAAUACCAACAGUUUUCAAAAUUAUACUUGCCUCAUUGUUAAGUUGUUCAUCUGCUUGAUCUGCAUUGGCUUCACCUUGUCUGGAAGCCGUCUCAUGAAAUGGAGUUGUGUCAGUCUGUGCAAGUACAACAAAAAUUAGGAAGGCAAUCCUAAAUAUGUAUAACAUCUUCCAAAAUUACUUGACAACUCAAAAAAAAAACUGAAUCAAGAACUAGAUAAACAUUAAUUUUAAUUUCCGAAAAAAAGUUACCUCAUUGUUUGGAGUUUCAUAUGAAGUAACUCUUUGUAGUUUCUCUAGUUUUGUCACACGUUCUUUAAUCUGUUUCCUGUCUUUUUCAAUCAAACACAAACGAUCGUUCAUGAUCCUUAAAUUAUCUCCCACCAUCUCGCUGAUUCUGUUGAUCUUUGAUUCCAAAGACUCCUCCUGAUACGAAGAAGAAGCUUGACUCAUCCCUCCAUUCCCAAACAGUAAAGAUGCUCUUCUUAUUUGUUCAUUAGCACCGUAUAGGUCUACUGACAUGUUUCGCCAAUCUCUAAUUUUAAACUUAUAACCUCUCUUGGAUAAAUCGGCCAUGUCAUCCAGAUCUUUAUUAGCUUCGUCUUCCAUGCAAACAUCAGCUUCUGGAUCAUUAGAAAUAGGAGGUAGGAUGCAUGUGACCUUAAGCUGAAACCAUAAAAAUAAUUAGCUUUUAAAUGGAGAAUCAUAAGGCAAAACAGAAACAAGAAAAAAAUAAUGUAAAAACUUACAUGAUCUUUGAUUUCAAUUAGGAGAACAUCUAUCAGCUGUGGAGAAGCUAUUUGAAGGUACUUCUCACACAAAAAUAUUGGGGUAGACGGUUGAACGCUCAGAAUAGGAACAACUUGACUGAAUGCAUACUGUAGCAAAGGUACUGACUCAAGUAUCCAUAUAAGAAAUGCCAUAGGGAAUCCUUGCAAAUCAUAAUUGUUUUUGUCGAGGCUUUUGUCGACAGCUCUCUGAAGUGAUUUUAACAGCAAAUUAUAAGCUGUUCUCCCCCAUGGGUAUGUCAUCAAGACAUCCAUAUCCUGCGCUAUUUUCACAUAAUCCAAAGUAAAAGUUGUGCCACCGUCGAGAAGGCUCUUCUGUAGUAGUAUGCUCUCAAUCAGGAGGAGCAUUGCAAGGCAGAAUCUCUCAUCAGAAGCAUCUUCUCUUGUGUUUCUGAGCUGCUUCUCCACGUCCUUUACUGUAUGAGUACGCCCUUUUAGGAAGUCCCACUUAAAUUUCUCGGUUUCCUCUCGUGGUUCUCUUGCUUCACCACUACAUUUCAAACCAGUCACCAUGUGGAAUUCUCUUAUAGAGAACCUCAUUGGCUGAGCACCAAAAUGGAACCAUGCUUCGUGUCUCUUCACUGUCUUGAUGCUUUUGGUGAGAACUGCGUGCACUAUCUUAGCUGAUAAUUUCAAAGACCUCUCUCCAAGCUUGAUCACCGGUCCCAAAAACGUCCCUCUUAUUCUGUUGAACUCAUCAUUUCCUAGAAUUUCCUUAACAGUUUUGAUAUAAGCAACUAUCGAGUGUUGGUUUAUCGAUAUCGUCUUCUCUGGCUCUGAUCCAAUCGGAUACCUCAGCUCAGGCAGUGCUAGUCUUAAUGGUAAUGGAUCUCCCAUCUUGUUUCUAUCCUGCGUAAACAAGAAAAAUUUUAUUUGUCUAAAUUAAUUAAAAUCCAAUUUUCAGGAAGGGUUUCCUGAAACAAUACAAAUCCUUCCUGAGUCUAUACACAUGCUUUCACAUGAACUAGAAUUCUACCAAUCAUAUUAGGUUAAAACGAGCAAGUCUAUACACAAGCAAAAACCAGGAGACCAAUCUCUCAGAAAGAAAACACACAUAAGGUUGAAUCUGCAACAUACCUUAAGAGAUAGAGCUCUAGAAAUGGUUUUUCUCGGAGAAUAGAGAGAGCUCGCGUAAAAGAUCGAGAGAGAGAGAGAGAGUUCUGGAGAUGGGUUUUCGUCGGAGAUCGAGAGAUAUGGAGAUGAGAGAGAGAUUCGAGAGGCGGAGACGAGUGAGAUUCGAGAAGUUUGAAACGGCGAGAGUGUUGAGACGGCAAGAGUUUUGUCUUUUUUCAAUCGAAAUGUAUUGUUUUGGAAACCUAUCCUAUAUUAAUUGGUUUAAGUAUGCUUAUGUAAUAUUCUUUAACAGAUGAUUCUCCUCAGACCAGCGGUUAAACCAAGGCAUUUCAUAACUCAAAAGUCUCUCUAUCCCCGGGUUCGAUAUGUGGUGGAUUCAAAAUCAAUUUUAAUUUUUUUUUGUGUUACAGUUUGGAGUUAAAUAAAAUUAAAUGUAAUCCAUUAACAGAUGAUUCUUCUUGGCCUAGUGGCUAAACUCCCACACUAUCCAAAUACGCAAACUCUCUCCCUCUGGGUUCGAUCCUUUGUGGUUCUAAAUUUUUGUUGUCUGUAAACAUCACAAUUUUAAGCUUACCAUAUACAUGUCCAAUCCUUAGUAUAUAAUCUCAUUUCAUUCUUUUUUACAUUUGAAACACUUAACUUUUUUUCUGGAAACCCAUCCAGAAACAUUAUUUUAACCUUCCAAGAUAUAUGAUACCCAAAAAAAUACUUGAUAUCCUUCCAAUCUUUCUUAUGUAACCAGACGCCAACAACAUAACAAAAUAAACAGUCAUAACUAAAACCGAGUCUUAACUAAAACAAAAAAUGUUUUCAUGCAUCAUUCUCAUUUCCCAAAGCUCUCAUCCACAAAUUGGUUGAAGAUCUCACAAGACAAGGUUCUCCUUAGCUCCAAUGCAUUGUCAUCAUUAAUCUUUGUCAUGUCUCCUAUCUUCAAUGACUGGCACUCCAGAAUCUUGACAAGAAAUAUCCCACAGUUGAAAGGAUGUUUUGUCUUGGGUAAACCUUGUGCCUACUCAAUCUCAAAUGGAAUCAUCUUCACUUUAUCUACCUCAUCACCAGAAGAUUCUACCAGCAGAUCAGAAAUCAACACUGUCAUAUUUAAAAAUCAAUAUCAAGAUAGAAUCAGUUGAAUAUUUCAAACCAAGAAACAGUUGAAUACAUCAAAUACAAAUUGUUUAUACAUACCUGCCAACUUUUUCACUUGAAGAAUAUCAAUGCUGUUGCUUUCCUUUUGAAAACAAUCAUAUACUGUGAUUCUUUUCUUCUUCAAAUGAAUUUUCAUCCCAAUCCAGACAUUGCUUUUUUUUUCCAAGAGUAAUCCCAUACACAACAUCAACAUCUUCUCCCCAUGUUUUCUCUGGAUAUACCUUCCCUCUCACAAUAUCUUUAAAUAAAUUGUUGAAAACUUUUUUCCUUUGACCUUUUCUUUCUUGUAAGCCAAAUCAUCAGAGAGCAAGCAAUGCAAGAACUCCAUAGGUAGGAAGCACGCCUUUGGAAUCUUGUAGUUGUGGAACCAAGCAGCAUUCUCAUUUCUUCUGCAAUUUAGCAUUGCAAAGGCUCCAUCAAUGUGCUGCAAAAAAAAGGCAAACAUUAUCUAAUUUGUUACUAUAUAAUUCCUGAAACUAAACAAAUCCUUCCUGAAUUUUUUUUUUAAAAAAAAGCUCAAGGCAAGAACAUAUGUAAACAAAUUACCUCUUUCUUAAGGUCCUUUUUUGCAUUUUCCAUGCUUUGAAAGAAAGAUUUCCUUAUCUUAUUAUCAUUGAUUGAUAGGGACCUGCAGUCGAUUAAAGAUUCAAAGGAAUUACCAAACCUCUUAUACAUAAAUAUAAGAAUAUAUAGACAAGGACAGAAACAUGCUUACGUUUCAUGCAUGCCGGGCUUUAAUGUCAUCCAAUUUUGAAGCCUUGAAAGCUUAUGUUCCGCAGGAGUUGAAAACGGAUCAACUGCAGGUAUAAUCUCAGGUAUUACAGUUAAAGCCGGAUUUCUGUCAGACUUGAAUGGAGUUUUUGUGUCUCUAGAUCGUUUAGGCACCCUCUCGCUCCUUCUUAGGAAAACAUUAUCCAUUCCUGAAUUUUGUGAUGAGGCAGCAGCUUUCCUUUUCUUAUCAGGCUUCACCUUUAAUCAAACAAUAGACACCAAGCAAAAUAUUAUCAAAUUUGUUGCAAUCGGAAUUUCUGGAAACCAUUCCUGAAACUAAAAUGUAUGUAUAUCAAACAAUUCACGUGAAGUAUAAUUCUAGUUAUGAUUUACCUUAUCUGCCAUCUUCCAGACUCCAUCUUUCCAUUCUCUAUGAAUUCGCAAAUCUGAAUGUUUGAAUAGAAUAGUUUCCAUAGAAGUAUAGAGACACACCGAGUAUGUGUUAUCACCAAGUACCAUGCUAAUUUGUCCGCUGCUCCAGCCAUUGUUGUAAAAGGCUUCUACCUUAUCCAUCAUCUCAAAGGAUUUUUGGUCACUAGUUGGUGUUGCAGGACGUAUUUUGUCAGCCGUGAUAGUAUCCUGAAGUUUCUGAAGUCUAUGUUGGUCUGUGAAGAGUGUCGUGUACUCAACUGUCAGCUCCUCUAGUCCUUCACACAGUUUAAGAUCAACAACCUUUCCUGGAUACCAUAUUUCGUCAUCAGUAGACAAAAUCUCAACCUCUGCGCCUAUUUGAAAGUGAGCUAGAAGCCUGCUUACUUCAACCUAUUAAAAAUGAAGAUUCAGUAACAUCAGCGGUUUUAAAUUGUUAGAAUAAUAAUUAAAGAUCAAAUAUACUCGAUGCAUACCUCGUUUGUUUCUGAAAAAUCUAUAGCACUUGUCUGAAGAUGCUCUGUUUGCUGAGUAAUAGGCGGCAUCUUCGAAACAUCUGUGGAAACUAGCUCAGUAGUAGGUUCUGUAGUAUCCUUGAGAUUUUCUUCUGCUUGAUUCUGCUCUGAUGGUGUCUCAUCGGAUUGAUCUCCCUCACUUGUCUGAAGGUGCUGUGUUUGCGGAGUAAGAGGCUGUGUCUUCGAAACAUCUGUGGAAACUAGCUCAGUAGUAGGUUCUGUAGUAUCCUUGAGAUAUUCUCCGCUUGAUUCUUUCUGCUUGAUUGUGUAUGCUCUCCUUCACUUGUAGAAAAAUAUUGGGUCGCAGUUUCUGUCUCACUCUAUAAGACAAAAGUAAAUGGUAAGAGUUAGUUGAAUAGAAAAAUAUUACAUAAACAUUUUAAAUAUUUCUUCUUACCAAAGCAUUCUUAUUUUCUUCAAUAACUAGUGCAAUUAGUGAAGACAAUGGAGAGGAAGGUGUGUGAUGCACAGCAUGUGUAUCCUCCUGUAAUAACAGUAAAAUAAAAGAGGUAGUUAUGAAGAAGUUUCUACAAUUUAAAAUUCAAGUUGUACUUAUGAAAGACAUUUCUAUGCUUACCUUUUUAUUGUUUGCUGAAAUGAUCUCAGUCAAUGGCUGUGUAGCCUCAUACGUUUCCUCUGUUACCGUCUGCAAAAAAAACAAAAAAAAGUCAGGUAGGGGAUCAAAAACACGUACAAAAGCUUUCAAACAUUACUUGAAAUCUCCAAGAUUUUUUGAACAUUUACCUGCUGUUUCUGAAUUGGAGUAAAAACUUGAGCCUCAAUACUCUUUGGAGAUAUUGGAGAAGAAGGUGUCUCAUUCAUUUCCAGUGUUUCUUUUUGCAAAACUUGAGUCUGAGCAGCAGGUGACUCAAUCACAAUCUGCAAAAAAUAUCAGGAAAGGCCAUCAUGAAUACAUUCAAUUAUAAUUUCUAGAGUAAAUAUUACCUCAUCAUCUGGUUUUCCUUCUUCUUGAUUAGUUUUGGGUGGCGUUUCAUCAGUAGAGGUUUGUGUUUCCCUCUGCCAAAAAUUAGAAAGGUCUAUAUAUGUAAAUCACCCAAAACUAAUUGUAAACUCCAACUGUCAUUGAGCAUAUACCUCUUUUGUCAGAUUAGGAGUAAAAACUUGAGUAUCAAGGGCAGGCGUGUCAUCCGAUGGCUCUCUCUCAAUCUGUAAAAAUUAUCACGAAGUCAAUCCAGAGUACGUUCUAAAGCUUCCAACAUUAACUUAAAAAUCCAAGAAUUUUUUUGACCAUGUACCCUGCUGAGUCUGACUUGGAGUAUCUAAAGGGAGUUUCAAUACUCUUUGGAGCUAUUGGANNNNNNNNNNNNNNNNNNNNNNNNNNNNNNNNNNNNNNNNNNNNNNNNNNNNNNNNNNNNNNNNNNNNNNNNNNNNNNNNNNNNNNNNNNNNNNNNNNNNGGAAGUUUUGUGCAUCUGUGGACAAUGGAUCUCAAAAGAAUCUCUCCAGUGGGAGUUUCUUGUUGAUUUGAAGAGGAAUGCAUCAAUCAUUUCCAUAGAAGAAGAUCUACUGUAUGAAGAUUUGAUGAAGAUUGUCUCUGAAGAUUUUAGUGUUAAAGAGGAAGAAAUCAGUUUGAGUUAUGGUUUUUCAUUGGAUAAGAAAUGUAUUAUUGAAAGUUUCCCCCCACUCUCGAUAGGUAAUACUCGUCAGCUCAGAACUUUCAUUUCCAAGACUAGAGCAUUUGAUGGAACCUGUCGUUUGUGUGUUAAGGUUUGUAUGAUUUUUUUCUUACUUAGACUUUUCAGGAUAUGCUUCAUAACCAAGUAUUAUGCCUUACAGAACUACUUGACUUUUGCAGGUUAGUACUGAUCCAGCUAGCUGUAACACUGAAGCUUCUGAUACAUUUGCUUCUACUGUUCCAUUGAAUGCCAAUCCAGCGCUUCUUUCUACUGUGCAGAGUGAAAAACAGGUACAUUGUCCUUAAUUUCCUUUUUCUGUUUGUGUUUGCAUGAUAUGCUUCAUAAUCAAGUAUUAUGCCUUACAGAACUACUUGACUUUUGCAGAGUUUUCUAUAUGAAGGUGUUUCUACAGUUCCUCUGAAUGCUCUUCCGGAUUUUAGUACUGAUUCAGCUAGCUGUAACAUUCAAGCUUCUGAUACAUUUGCUUCUACUGUUCCAUUGAAUGCCAAUCCAGUGAUUCUUUCUACUGUGCAGAGUGAAAAACAGGUACAUUGUCCCUAAUUCCCUUUUUCUGUUUGUGUUUGCAUGAUAUGCUUCAUAAUCAAGUAUUAUGCUUUACAGAACUACUUGACUUUUGCAGAGUCUUCUAUAUGAAGGUGUUUCUACAGUUCCUCUGAAUGCUCUUCCGGAUUUUAGCCCUGUCCAUAUUGGACUUUCACCAAACACGAGAGUAGCUGGCGAUAUUAAGGUGAAUAGCCAUUUUAAGACAAAGAGAGAGUUGAUGUUGAGGAUGAAGAAAUGGGCUUUAGAGUGGAAGUUUGAGUACAAGACUGUCUCUUCUAACAAGUCAAGAGUGCUUUUGAGUUGUGUUGAUGAAAAUUGCACGUGGAGGAUGCGUGCUAUCAAGCUACCUGUUUCAGAUUUUUUCGUUGUUAAAAAGUAUGUUCAUGAACAUACAUGCGAUACAACACACAGGAAAGCCAACCACAGACAAGCAUCUGCAAAGUUGUUGGGUUCUUUGAUUUCCAGCAAUUAUGGAGAAAAAAAGGAAGGUCUCAAACCGAAACAGAUUAUUGAACAGGUCAGGAUGCUGCAUGGUGUUCACAUCAAUUACAAACAAGCUUGGAGAGUGAGAGAAGAAGCUCAGAUUUUGGUUAGAGGGACUCCUGAAGACAGCUAUUACAAUUUGUCUAGGUGGUUGUAUAAAAUCACAGAAACAAACCCUGGUUCCUUGACUUAUCAACAUGUUGAUGCUGCAGGAAAGUUCAAGUAUGCAUUUGUGGCUUUUGGUCCAUCGAUAAGGGGAUUCUCAUUGAUGAGGAGAGUUAUUGCAGUAGAUGGUACAUUUCUGAAGGGAAAAUUCAAUGGGACUUUAUUGGCAGCUUGUGCUCAAGAUGGGAAUUAUCAUCUAUAUCCUCUCGCCUUUGCAGUGGUUGACGCAGAAAACGGCGCCUCUUGGAAAUGGUUCUUUAGAGGUUUGAGCCAGAAGAUCCCGGACGCUUCGGAUCUUGUUUUUGUAUCAGACAGGGCUAACUCCAUUUCUUCAGCGUUGGAGGAUGUAUAUCCCUUAUCUCACCAUGGAAUUUGCAGGAUCCAUCUGCUCCGCAACAUCACUCCUACAUAUGCGAAGACUGGGUUGCUACCUCUGGUGGAAAGCGCUGCUGAUGCCUAUACGUGUCACGAGUUCUGGUUAAUCUUCAAGGACAUAAAGGAUAAAUGUCCUGAAUUGGCUAAGUAUCUGGAAGAGUCUGAUUUUAGGAAGUGGGCACGAAGCUAUGCGCCUGCGAACAGGUAUAAUAUCAUGACUACCAACAUUGCAGAGUCUCUCAAUUCUAUGUUGAAGAUGCCUCGUGAGUUGCCCAUUAUCUCUCUCCUUGAAACUAUCAGAUUGACGAUGACCACUUGGUUUUUUGAGCGACGCGAAGCGGCUGCGAAACAUAAGCACCUGGUUACUCCAAAAGUUGUGCAGAAAUUGGUAUCUAGGUUAGGGGCCGCAAUGUUGUUGAAUGUGUAUCAAGUUGAUCGAAGCGAGUUUGAGGUGAAGGAUGAAACAAUGAAGUUUGUUGUUGACUUGGAGAAGCGGCAUUGCACAUGUAAUGUUUUCGACAUUGACAAGAUCCCCUGCAUCCAUGCCAUCGCUGCUGCUAAGCAUAUCAAGAGAGAUGAAAACCGUUUUGUUGAUGCUUCUCACUUGACAGAAACGUGGGCUAAAGCUUAUGCUGAAAGCAUACAUCCUGGUGGAGAGUUGUCAACGUCCACCUAUCCAGAGAAUAUUGAUGAACUGUCUUGCCCACCUCCAGCUACCAAAAAGAAAAGUGGACGCCCUCCUACAAAGAGAAAGAGAUCCGUUGGCGAGUUUGGGGUUCCUGGAUCUAAAUCUCAGUCCCACAAGUGCAGCAGAUGUGGCACAGGAGGGCACAACAAGAUCACAUGCCAGAGGCCUAUAGGAUGAAGUUCUACAUUUUUACAUUUUUAUCGAUUAUUAUUUGGAUGUUGGCUAUUUGAUGGUUACAUGAUAUGCACAAGACCAUAUACAUUUUUUCUUUUGGAACCCUAUCCUGAAUAAGUAUGAUUUCUUCCAACUUUUGUAAUAUACAACAUUAUCUUUUGAUCUCAUUUCAAUUUUUAGUUUAAACUUCUUUGCUAGAAAAAAACACAGUAAUAUUCAACUAUUCUGGAAUCCCAUCCAGAAAUACCGAGUUCAUUUCCAAGGUUUAUAAUACAACAUUUUCUGUUAAGAAUAAUUAUGUGGAAAAGUGUAACAGAUGAUUCUCCUCGGUCUAGCGGCUAAAACACCUAUCUGUCGAAAUUGUAACGCUUGACUCGACCCGGGUUCGAUUCCCCUACUAAUCAGAGUUUUUUAAAAAAUUUAAGUUGAAUAAAAAUAAAAGAAAUAUAUUACUUUACUUACAACAUGUAAUGACUGAAAUUAACUUGGCCUAGUGGCUACUACACCUUAGUUCCCUCUUUCCUCCUAGUCAUCUUCAGGUUCGAAUCCUAUGAGAUGUGUAUAUAUAUUUUUUUUUCCUCCAAAAUUUGCAAAUCACAUUAUCAAAUUUUCCAAAUGUGUAGAUAUUAAUCCUUAGUUUUGAUCUCAUUUCAUUUUUUUCUAGUUUAAGAAAGAAGCACACUAAUAUUCAUGUAUAUUAUUCAUGCAAACUCUGGAAGCCCAUCCUGAACUAUCUAAGAUCUUUCCAAUGUAUUUUACUAUAAAUUCAAUUAUGUGGAAGCAACUAACAGAUGAUUCUCCUCAGCCUAGCGGCUAAACCACGAAACCUAUGAUACCGAAACAUUUGUUCGACCCGGGUUCGACUCUCCUACGAGUAAUGGUUGAUUUUUUUUUUGUUCAAACAUAUAUCUCAGGAAUCGAAGAGUCUCUUCCAAACGACAUCAUGUAACUCAGUAACCGAAGAGUUUCUUUUCGUCAAGAUUGGCUGUUAUAUGAUUGGUUAUUUCAGUAACUGACUUCAAAAAUCGAAGAGUUCCACAAUAAUCAAGAGUUUAUUUUAACUGACUUCAAUAAUCGAAGAGUUCCUUUUAGUUCUAUAAAUAUAAGGGACGAUAUCAGACCUUUUAUUCACUCACUUCAUUUCGUCUGAUUUAUCCUUUUGCAAUACAAGUUAGUUUUCGAUUUUUCUCAUUUUCCAUUCAAUUCAUGAACUUUUUUCUAUUUCUAUUUUAUCGUAACAUCUUAGUUUCGAUUUUGUUGCAGGACAAAGUUUCAAUGGAAGGAAGUUCAAAGAAGAUGAUGAAGCGUCCCAUAGAGGAGGUUUACGGAUGUGAUGCCGCCGAAGGUUUCAAUAAGGGGAAGAAGGAAACUGUGGUACAUUACAGGGCUCUUCUUCGUUUGUCCAACGAAUACAGGCUAUCUGAGAAUGAUUGGAAUCUGGCAUCCAGCAAAGCAAAUUCAAUUGCUGUCCAAAUCGAGUUGCUUGAAGAUAUUAUCAAAGCUGAUGGAAAAUUUGAUUUAACUGCUGAGUUGGAGAAACUCAAAGAAGAGCACUCGGAAGCGGAAGGAAUGCUUGCUGAUGUGAAGGUCAAAGUCCCUGAUUGGGAUAAACUUGGCGAAAGUUGGCUGUGUCAUGAGUAAUUUCAUGUUAUCAUCUUCUCUUUUUAUGUUUUUAAGGACCACAUUAUGUUUGAUUUUCAGUUUUUAUUUUAAAUGAAUAAGUACUUUUGUUUCUCUUGUGUUGUUUCUUCAAUUAACAACCUAAAUAAAAAACUUGUUCAAUGUUUUUCACUAUUUUGUAAUGGUUUGGCCUAGUGUUCUUGUAACUUGGUUAUCUGAUUUGCUUAUUUGUUUUUGGAAAGCCAUCCUGAAUACAUAAAAUGAUAUCCAGAUUAUAUAAAUCUAUCGUCUGUGAAUAAAUAAGUUCACAUUUACUCUGUUAUCGAAUAUCCACCGUAGCCUAGUGGCAAGCCCUUCUACUCUUAGUGUACCCUUAUCACACAAUAAGCCGUGUUCGAUCCCCGUUGUGUAUACUCACAUUUUUUUCUGUUUUUAAUUAAAUAUUCAAAAGUUAUUUUCGUUUUAUUAUAGCUUUUGGCAAGUAUAACACCCUUGGUACAACGGCUGCACACUUUGAUUCAUCUUUCGAGAGUUCACGAGUUCAAUCAACAUCAGAUCACAUUCUUUUUCAUUUUUUUUUUGUAAACUUUAAAGGAAUUUGUUUUUGGAAAGCUAUCCUGAAUACCUAAAAUGAUAUCCAGAUUAUAUAAAUCUAUCGUCUGUGAAUAAAUAAGUUCACAUUUACUCUGUUAUCGAAUAUCCACCAUAGCCUAGUGGCAAGCCCUUCUACUCUUAGUGUACCCUUAUCACACAAUAAGCCGUGUUCGAUCCCCGUUGUGUAUACUUACACUUUUUUCUGUUUUUAAUUAAAUAUUCAAAAGUUAUUUUCGUUUUAUUAUAGCUUUUGGCAAGUAUAACACCCUUGGCACAGCGGCUGCACACUUUGAUUCAUCUUUCGAGAGUUCACGAGUUCAAUCAACAUCGGAUCACAUUCUUUUUCAUUUUUUUUUGUAAACUUUAAAGGAAUUUGCUAGGCUUUGGUGCAUUUUGCUUUCUCACUCUUUUUCUGGAAACCCAUCCUAAAAGUACCAUAAGCAUUUGACAAUUCAUCAAUACAUCCUAAAAAUUUUUCAAUAACAAUCUAAAUGAAAAAAACGUUAGGGAUAAUUCAUUACAAACUUAAACUUAAACGUUAGGGAUAAUUAAUAUCAAAGUAGAAAAACAGAGUAGAAAACAGAGUAGAACAAAUAUGACAUUUUCACUUCCUUUGACCUUCCUGGAAAUCUUUAUCCAUAAACUGGUCGAAGAUCUCACAACAUAGCUUGCUUCGUAAGUCUAUCGCAGUUUCAUCAUUUAUAUUAGCCAUGCUCUUCAAUCCCAGUGACCUGCAUUCCAGCAUCUUCACAACAAAAAUACCACAGUUGUAUGGAAAUUUUGUCUUUGGAAGCCCUUCUGCAAACUUAACUUCAAAUGGACUGAUAUCUUCGAAAUUAACCUCUUCACCAAGAAGUUCCAUCUUUAUGGCACUAAUCAACACUGUCAUAAAUACCCAAAAUUAUACAAUAAAUCAAUCACCAACAGACAACAAAAUGAAUAUGUAAAAAUGCAUCACAAGCACAAGCAGCAAGUGACAAACUUUUAUUUUCUAAAUUAGCUAAAAUUCUUUUUUCAGGAUACGCAUACUUUCACAAUCCUAUCCAUUAUCAAUGUAACAAUAUAAAUUAAACUGAUUUUUCUACACUGAAUGAUAAAAUUAAUAAAUCACAAAGAGUUUUUACCUGCCAGUUCUUGGAUUUGAUUAAGAGCACGUUUGAUAUUUGCUUUUGGAAGACCACAAUGGAAGAGUGUGAUUGUGUUGUCCAUCAAUUGUAUCUCCACCCCAAUAUAGUGAUAGCUCAACUUAUCUUCAAUGACACCAUAUAUAACAUCAACAUCUUCCAGCCAUACCUUCUUUGGAUGUAUUAAACCUUUCACAAGUUCGCCUACACAGCCCUCCAAUAACGUUUGUUUUUUCUUAUGUGGCUUCCUGACAGAUUCAUAAGCGUACCCAACCACUUCUAAGAAUUUGACUGGUACAAAGCAUGCUGCUGGAAGAUUGUUGUUGCGGAACCAAGCACCUUGCUCAACCCUCUUACAAUUUAGCAUUUCAAAUGCAACAUUUAUGUGCUGCCAAUGUAACAAUAUAGUUAGAAACUUCAUAUAGAACUGCUAUAACAUGGACAUCUAGCAUAGCUCAACUCAACCUCUUCCUAAACAUAUGACACAAUCAAAUAGAAGACAGAACAGAGUGUUGAUUACCUCUUUGUUGAGAUUGUUUUCUGCAUCGUCCAUUUUUUGAAAGAACUCUUUUUCAAUUUCUUUUCCAUUGAUAUAAAACGGUCUGUAGUUGAUAAAAUUAACUAGUAUCAAUCGAAACUUUUACAAAAUAAAUUAGGAAUAUUUAUGCGAGGACAAAAAGUUGCUUACACACGAUAUAUGCCCCGUAGAUCCAUCCAGUGUGCAAGCCUUGAAAACCGAGGAAAUUCAGGUGUCACAAAUGGAUCAAUUGGAAGGAUUACCUCAGGUGUUACAGGUAUAGGAGGGUUUCUAGGUCGUAUUGGCCUCUUCUCUUCUCGCUGUAGAAAAGGAAGCAAAUCUACUGGCUGAGCAUUUGCUUUCUUCUUCUUACCAACAUCAGGCUUCCCCUUUAAUUAAAAAUAAAGACAAAAAUUCAGGAUCGUUUUUAUCUUUAUACUUGAAUGCCUUCCUAAUAUGAAGUAAAAAUAUUUUUUAUACCUUUUUUGCAUGAUCGUCUUGACUUGGUUUCACACUCUUACCCUGCUUUACUUCCAUCUGUGAAACAAAACCGAUAUAUCAAACUAUUGACCUGAACUUCAAUUCAAGUGGAUCUUAUUCAUUUUUAUUACCUCUUUUGCCAUUUUCCCAACACCAUCUUCUGAUGGACCAGCUGCUUCAUUUUUCUUACAAGCGACAGCCUUCGCCUUCCCCUUUUUGAAUGACAAAAAUUCAGAUACAUUUAUAUCUUAAUUCCUAGUAUGAUGUAUAAAUAUUUCAUACCUUUUUAUCACCAUCUCCUUCACUUGGAUUCACACUCUGCGUCUGCUCUUCUUCCAUCUGAAAAUCAAUACCGAGAUAUUAAACAAAUGACAUUAUUUUUCAAUUCAAGUGAUCCAAGGCAUUUGUUUUACCUUUUUUGUCAUCUCCCAAACACCAUCUACCCAUUUUCUUGGUUUUCGCAUCUCAGAAUGGUGGAAGUAAAUUUGUUCUUUAGAAUUGUUCAAAGAGACAAAACACGAGCCAUCAAACAAAAUGACUUUAACUUUUCCAGCGCACCAGGCACCAUUGUCGAACGCCUCCACGUCCUGCAUUAGCUCAUAACUUUUCUUCGCUCCAGAUCUCUCAGGUGGUGGUUGAGGACGUAUUCUGUCAAUUGAUACACGUGUCUCAACACUCCUUUUCCUCUUCUUUUCGUCCAGAGACGGGACGGAGUACUCAACUUUCACCAUCUCAACCCCAUCAACCAAAUAUGUUGCCAACACAUUUCCUGGAUACCAUUUAUGACAAGUAUUGUCAUCUUGUGAUGAAAUCUCCACAUUUGCUCCGAUCUCAAAGGGAUUUUGAACUCUGCUUUCUACAUCCUGUGAUGGUUUAGAUUCAAGGAUAUCCAGUCAUUUUGAUAGUUGCUGUAUAUUUAUUAAAGGUUUUAAUGAAAGUAAUACCUUAUUUUGCUCUGUUAAAAGAUUUCUGCGAGCUCGGGUAUUUGGCUGUGUGUCGGAAAUGUUUGGUGAAAUGAUCUCAUUCAUAAGCUCGUGAGUCUCCUGAAUUCAGGAAUGGUUGAAUGAACACGUACAAGGGCUUCCAAAAAUUACUUGAAAAGUCCAAUUUUUUAAAGAAGGUACCUGCUGCGUCUGAAUUGGAGUAAGGACUGGAGUCUCAAUAUUCUGUUGAGCUAUUGGAGAACCAGGUGUCUCUUUCGUGAUCUCAUUCAUAGGCUCUCGUGUAUCCUGAAGUCAGGAAUGGGAUUAUGAACUCGUACAAGAACUUCCAAAAAUUAAUUUAAGUACAACCAAAUUCAUAAUUUUAUAAAUACCAACAGUUUUCAAAAUUAUACUUGCCUCAUUGUUAAGUUGUUCAUCUGCUUGAUCUGCAUUGGCUUCACCUUGUCUGGAAGCCGUCUCAUGAAAUGGAGUUGUGUCAGUCUGUGCAAGUACAACAAAAAUUAGGAAGGCAAUCCUAAAUAUGUAUAACAUCUUCCAAAAUUACUUGACAACUCAAAAAAAAAACUGAAUCAAGAACUAGAUAAACAUUAAUUUUAAUUUCCGAAAAAAAGUUACCUCAUUGUUUGGAGUUUCAUAUGAAGUAACUCUUUGUAGUUUCUCUAGUUUUGUCACACGUUCUUUAAUCUGUUUCCUGUCUUUUUCAAUCAAACACAAACGAUCGUUCAUGAUCCUUAAAUUAUCUCCCACCAUCUCGCUGAUUCUGUUGAUCUUUGAUUCCAAAGACUCCUCCUGAUACGAAGAAGAAGCUUGACUCAUCCCUCCAUUCCCAAACAGUAAAGAUGCUCUUCUUAUUUGUUCAUUAGCACCGUAUAGGUCUACUGACAUGUUUCGCCAAUCUCUAAUUUUAAACUUAUAACCUCUCUUGGAUAAAUCGGCCAUGUCAUCCAGAUCUUUAUUAGCUUCGUCUUCCAUGCAAACAUCAGCUUCUGGAUCAUUAGAAAUAGGAGGUAGGAUGCAUGUGACCUUAAGCUGAAACCAUAAAAAUAAUUAGCUUUUAAAUGGAGAAUCAUAAGGCAAAACAGAAACAAGAAAAAAAUAAUGUAAAAACUUACAUGAUCUUUGAUUUCAAUUAGGAGAACAUCUAUCAGCUGUGGAGAAGCUAUUUGAAGGUACUUCUCACACAAAAAUAUUGGGGUAGACGGUUGAACGCUCAGAAUAGGAACAACUUGACUGAAUGCAUACUGUAGCAAAGGUACUGACUCAAGUAUCCAUAUAAGAAAUGCCAUAGGGAAUCCUUGCAAAUCAUAAUUGUUUUUGUCGAGGCUUUUGUCGACAGCUCUCUGAAGUGAUUUUAACAGCAAAUUAUAAGCUGUUCUCCCCCAUGGGUAUGUCAUCAAGACAUCCAUAUCCUGCGCUAUUUUCACAUAAUCCAAAGUAAAAGUUGUGCCACCGUCGAGAAGGCUCUUCUGUAGUAGUAUGCUCUCAAUCAGGAGGAGCAUUGCAAGGCAGAAUCUCUCAUCAGAAGCAUCUUCUCUUGUGUUUCUGAGCUGCUUCUCCACGUCCUUUACUGUAUGAGUACGCCCUUUUAGGAAGUCCCACUUAAAUUUCUCGGUUUCCUCUCGUGGUUCUCUUGCUUCACCACUACAUUUCAAACCAGUCACCAUGUGGAAUUCUCUUAUAGAGAACCUCAUUGGCUGAGCACCAAAAUGGAACCAUGCUUCGUGUCUCUUCACUGUCUUGAUGCUUUUGGUGAGAACUGCGUGCACUAUCUUAGCUGAUAAUUUCAAAGACCUCUCUCCAAGCUUGAUCACCGGUCCCAAAAACGUCCCUCUUAUUCUGUUGAACUCAUCAUUUCCUAGAAUUUCCUUAACAGUUUUGAUAUAAGCAACUAUCGAGUGUUGGUUUAUCGAUAUCGUCUUCUCUGGCUCUGAUCCAAUCGGAUACCUCAGCUCAGGCAGUGCUAGUCUUAAUGGUAAUGGAUCUCCCAUCUUGUUUCUAUCCUGCGUAAACAAGAAAAAUUUUAUUUGUCUAAAUUAAUUAAAAUCCAAUUUUCAGGAAGGGUUUCCUGAAACAAUACAAAUCCUUCCUGAGUCUAUACACAUGCUUUCACAUGAACUAGAAUUCUACCAAUCAUAUUAGGUUAAAACGAGCAAGUCUAUACACAAGCAAAAACCAGGAGACCAAUCUCUCAGAAAGAAAACACACAUAAGGUUGAAUCUGCAACAUACCUUAAAGAGAUAGAGCUCUAGAAAUGGUUUUUCUCGGAGAAUAGAGAGAGCUCGCGUAAAAGAUCGAGAGAGAGAGAGAGUUCUGGAGAUGGGUUUUCGUCGGAGAUCGAGAGAUAUGGAGAUGAGAGAGAGAUUCGAGAGGCGGAGACGAGUGAGAUUCGAGAAGUUUGAAACGGCGAGAGUGUUGAGACGGCAAGAGUUUUGUCUUUUUUCAAUCGAAAUGUAUUGUUUUGGAAACCUAUCCUAUAUUAAUUGGUUUAAGUAUGCUUAUGUAAUAUUCUUUAACAGAUGAUUCUCCUCAGACCAGCGGUUAAACCAAGGCAUUUCAUAACUCAAAAGUCUCUCUAUCCCCGGGUUCGAUAUGUGGUGGAUUCAAAAUCAAUUUUAAUUUUUUUUUGUGUUACAGUUUGGAGUUAAAUAAAAUUAAAUGUAAUCCAUUAACAGAUGAUUCUUCUUGGCCUAGUGGCUAAACUCCCACACUAUCCAAAUACGCAAACUCUCUCCCUCUGGGUUCGAUCCUUUGUGGUUCUAAAUUUUUGUUGUCUGUAAACAUCACAAUUUUAAGCUUACCAUAUACAUGUCCAAUCCUUAGUAUAUAAUCUCAUUUCAUUCUUUUUUACAUUUGAAACACUUAACUUUUUUUCUGGAAACCCAUCCAGAAACAUUAUUUUAACCUUCCAAGAUAUAUGAUACCCAAAAAAAUACUUGAUAUCCUUCCAAUCUUUCUUAUGUAAUCAGACGCCAACAACAUAACAAAAUAAACAGUCAUAACUAAAACCGAGUCUUAACUAAAACAAAAAAUGUUUUCAUGCAUCAUUCUCAUUUCCCAAAGCUCUCAUCCACAAAUUGGUUGAAGAUCUCACAAGACAAGGUUCUCCUUAGCUCCAAUGCAUUGUCAUCAUUAAUCUUUGUCAUGUCUCCUAUCUUCAAUGACUGGCACUCCAGAAUCUUGACAAGAAAUAUCCCACAGUUGAAAGGAUGUUUUGUCUUGGGUAAACCUUGUGCCUGCUCAAUCUCAAAUGGAAUCAUCUUCACUUUAUCUACCUCAUCACCAGAAGAUUCCACCAGCAGAUUAGAAAUCAACACUGUCAUAUUUAAAAAUCAAUAUCAAGAUAGAAUCAGUUGAAUAUUUCAAACCAAGAAACAGUUGAAUACAUCAAAUACAAAUUGUUUAUACAUACCUGCCAACUUUUUCACUUGAGGAAUAUCAAUGCUGUUGCUUUCCUUUUGAAAACAAUCAUAUACUGUGAUUCUUUUCUUCUUCAAAUGAAUUUCCAUCCCAAUCCAGACAUUGCUUUUUUUUCCAAGAGUAAUCCCAUACACAACAUCAACAUCUUCUCCCCAUGUCUUCUCUGGAUAUACCUUCCCUCUCACAGUAUCUUUAAAUAAAUCGUUGAAAAUCUUUUUACCUUUGACCUUUUCUUUCUUGUAAGCCAAAUCAUCAGAGAGCAAGCAAUGCAAGAACUCCAUAGGUAGGAAGCACGCCUUUGGAAUCUUGUAGUUGUGGAACCAAGCAGCAUUCUCAUUUCUUCUGCAAUUUAGCAUUGCAAAGGCUCCAUCAAUGUGCUGCAAAAAAAAAAGGCAAACAUUAUCUAAUUUGUUACUAUAUAAAUCCUGAAACUAAACAAAUCCUUCCUGAAUUUUUUUUUAAAAAAAAAAGCUCAAGGCAAGAACAUAUGUAAACAAAUUACCUCUUUCUUAAGGUCCUUUUUUGCAUUUUCCAUGCUUUGAAAGAAAGAUUUCCUUAUCUUAUUAUCAUUGAUUGAUAGGGACCUGCAGUCGAUUAAAGAUUCAAAGGAAUUUACCAAACCUCUUAUACAUAAAUAUAAGAAUAUAUAGACAAGGACAGAAACAUGCUUACGUUUCAUGCAUGCCGGGCUUUAAUGUCAUCCAAUUUUGAAGCCUUGAAAGCUUAUGUUCCGCAGGAGUUGAAAACGGAUCAACUGCAGGUAUAAUCUCAGGUAUUACAGUUAAAGCCGGAUUUCUGUCAGACUUGAAUGGAGUUUUUGUGUCUCUAGAUCGUUUAGUCACUCUCUCGCUCCUUCUUAGGAAAACAUUAUCCAUUCCUGUAUUUUGUGAUGAGGCAGCAGCUUUCCUUUUCUUAUCAGGCUUCACCUUUAAUCAAACAAUAGACACCAAGCAAAAUAUUAUCAAAUUUGUUGCAAUCGGAAUUUCUGGAAACCAUUCCUGAAACAAAAAUGUAUGUAUAUCAAACAAUUCACGUGAAGUAUAAUUCUAGUUAUGAUUUACCUUAUCUGCCAUCUUCCAGACUCCAUCUUUCCAUUCUCUAUGAAUUCGCAAAUCUGAAUGUUUGAAUAGAAUAGUUUCCAUAGAAGUAUAGAGACACACCGAGUAUGUGUUAUCACCAAGUACCAUGCUAAUUUGUCCGCUGCUCCAGCCAUUGUUGUAAAAGGCUUCUACCUUAUCCAUCAUCUCAAAGGAUUUUUGGUCACUAGUUGGUGUUGCAGGACGUAUUUUGUCAGCCGUGAUAGUAUCCUGAAGUUUCUGAAGUCUAUUAUAUUGGUAUGUGAAGAGUGUCGUGUACUCAACUGUCAGCUCCUCUAGUCCUUCACACAGUUUAAGAUCAACAACCUUUCCUGGAUACCAUAUUUCGUCAUCAGUAGACAAAAUCUCAACCUCUGCGCCUAUUUGAAAGUGAGCUAUACGCCUGCUUACUUCAACCUAUUAAAAAUGAAGAUUCAGUAACAUCAGCGGUUUUAAAUUGUUAGAAUAAUAAUUAAAGAUCAAAUAUACUCGAUGCAUACCUCGUUUGUUUCUGAAAAAUCUAUAGCACUUGUCUGAAGAUGCUCUGUUUGCUGAGUAAUAGGCGGCAUCUUCGAAACAUAUGUGGAAACUAGCUCAGUAGUAGGUUCUGUAGUAUCCUUGAGAUUUUCUUCUGCUUGAUUCUGCUCUGAUGGUGUCUCAUCGGAUUGAUCUCCCUCACUUGUCUGAAGGUGCUGUGUUUGCGGAGUAAGAGGCUGUGUCUUCGAAACAUCUGUGGAAACUAGCUCAGUAGUAGGUUCUGUAGUAUCCUUGAGAUAUUCUUCUGCUUGAUUCUUUCUGCUUGAUUGUGUAUGCUCUCCUUCACUUGUAGAAAAAUAUUGGGUCGCAGUUUCUGUCUCACUCUAUAAGACAAAAGUAAAUGGUAAGAGUUAGUUGAAUAGAAAAAUAUUACAUAAACAUUUUAAAUAUUUCUUCUUACCAAAGCAUUCUUAUUUUCUUCAAUAACUAGUGCAAUUAGUGAAGACAAUGGAGAGGAAGGUGUGUGAUGCACAGCAUGCGUAUCCUCCUGUAAUAACAGUAAAAUAAAGGGUUUUUAGUAAUUAAACCCCUCAACUAAAGAUGAAUCGUAAAAAAAACCCUCAACUAAAAAUCCUGUGAAAUAAACCCUCAACUUUAGUUCCGUUAACAUAUGUUACCCUCCGUUUAAAAAACUGUGACGGAGGGUGACAUAUGUUAACGGUUUAUAAGUUGAGGGUUUAUAAUGUUGAAAACUUAGUUGAGGGUUUUUUUUACGAUUCAAAAAUAGUUGAAGGGUUUUAUCACUAAAAGUCAUUAAAGGGUUUUUAAGUUAUUUAUUAUUCAUUUAUACAUUGUUUUAGAUUGAUUUGUAAGCCUUUAAAACUAAUGUAUAUUAUUAAUACAUUAAUCUAUUAUAAAAUUAAUUUAUACAUUUUAAAUUAAUAAUUUUCAACACGAUUUACAACUUAUUAUAACUUCAAAAUAUUAAAUUAUUUGAUAUUUGGCAAUAGUGAUAUAAAAAAAAUUGUGUGUUUAUAUCGUCAUUUUCAAAUAUCAAAUAAUUGAAAGUUUCUAAGUUAUAUUAAAUCUUAAGUAGUGUUGAGGAUAAUUCAUCCAUGAAGUCAAUCUUUUUAUUUGGAGUAUGACGUACUUUUUCUUAUUUUCAUGAUUUUCGUCAUCAGACUCAUACUUUUCUAUUUUUCUAUAUUGUUCUUGAUUUAUUGUAUUACUUUAUGUUUCAAAUAUAUUAUUGAUCAAGAAAAUAAAAAUAUAAUGUAGUUAUUCAGAAAUCAAUGAUAAUAAAAAUAAUCAUGCAUUAUUUUGGAGGGGGGAGAAGUAUGAACCGGAUGACAGAAAUCAUGAAAAAAAAGAAAAAGUGCGUCAUACUCUAAAUAGAAAGAUUGACUUCAUGGAUGAAUUAUCUCGACACUACUUAAGACUUAAUAUAACUUAGAAACUUUUAAUUAUUUCAUAUUUGACAAUGACGAUAUAAACACACAAAUUUUUUUAUAUCACUAUUUCCAAAUAUCAAAUAAUUUAAUAUUUCAAAGUUAUAAUAAGUUGUAAGUAGUGUUAAAAAUUAUUAAUUUAAGAUGUAUAAAUUAAUAUACAAAUAUAUUAAUGUAUUAAAAUUUAUAAAUUAGUUUUAAAGGCUUAUAAAUCUUAAAACAAUGUAUAAAUGAUAAUAAAUAAUUUAAUAAUAUUUAAUGACUUUUAGUGAUAAAACCCCUCAACUAAAGAUGAAUCGUGAAAAAAACCCUCAACUAAAAAUCCAGUGAAAUAAACCCUCAACUUAUAAACCGUUAACAUAUGUCACCCUCCGUCACGGUUUUUUAAACGGAGGGUAACAUAUGUUAACGGAACUAAAGUUGAGGGUUUAUUUCACAGGAUUUUUAGUUGAGGGUUUUUUUUACGAUUCAUCUUUAGUUGAGGGGUUUAAUUACUAAAAACCCUAAAAUAAAAGAGGUAGUUAUGAAGAAGUUUCUACAAUUUAAAAUUCAAGUUGUACUUAUGAAAGACAUUUCUAUGCUUACCUUUUUAUUGUUUGCUGAAAUGAUCUCAGUCAAUGGCUGUGUAGCCUCAUACGUUUCCUCUGUUACCGUCUGCAAAAAAAACAAAAAAAAAGUCAGGUAUGGGAUCAAAAACACGUACAAAAGCUUUCAAACAUUACUUGAAAUCUCCAAGAUUUUUUGAACAUUUACCUGUUGUUUCUGAAUUGGAGUAAAAACUUGAGCCUCAAUACUCUUUGGAGAUAUUGGAGAAGAAGGUGUCUCAUUCAUUUCCAGUGUUUCUUUUUGCAAAACUUGAGUCUGAGCAGCAGGUGACUCAAUCACAAUCUGCAAAAAAUAUCAGGAAAGGCCAUCAUGAAUACAUUCAAUUAUAAUUUCUAGAGUAAAUAUUACCUCAUCAUCUGGUUUUCCUUCUUCUUGAUUAGUUUUGGGUGGCGUUUCAUCAGUAGAGGUUUGUGUUUCCCUCUGCCAAAAAUUAGAAAGGUCUAUAUAUGUAAAUCACCCAAAACUAAUUGUAAACUCCAACUGUAAUUGAGCAUAUACCUCUUUUGUCAGAUUAGGAGUAAAAACUUGAGUAUCAAGGGCAGGCGUGUCAUCCGAUGGCUCUCUCUCAAUCUGUAAAAAUUAUCACGAAGUCAAUCCAGAGUACGUUCUAAAGCUUCCAAACAUUAACUUAAAAAUCCAAGAUUUUUUUUUGACCAUGUACCUGUUGAGUCUGACUUGGAGUAUAAACGGGAGUUUCAAUACUCUUUGGAGCUAUUGGAGAAGAAGGUGUCUCAUUCAUUUCCACUGUUUCUUUCUGCAAAAAUUGACUCUGAGUAGCAGGUGACUCACUUGCUAAUUUCUCUCUCACAAUCUGCAAAAAAAUAUCAGGAAUGGCCAUCAUGAAUACAUUCAACUAUAAUUUCUAGAAUAAAUAUUACCUCAUCAUCUGGUUUUCCAUCUUGAUUAGGAUUGGAUGGCCUCUCAUCGGUAGACGUUUCUGUUUCUUUCUGUCAAAAAUCAGAAAAGCUUUUAUAUGUAAAAAAAAAUCACCCAAAACUAAUUUGUAAACUCCAACUGUGAAAACAAUAUCAUUGAGCAUAUACCUCUUUUGUCAGAUUAGGAGAGAAUACUUGAGUAUCAAGGGCAAGAGUUUCAUCAUCUGAUUCAUUCAUUGUCUCCUGCAAAAAUCAAGAAUGCAUUCAAGAAUAUGUACAAAAGCUUCCAAAUAUUACUUCAAAACUCAACAAUAUUUUAUUGGUUACAUACCUUAUGUGUCAAAUUAGGCUGUUGAGACAUUGGAGAUAAAGGCGUCUCACUCGAUUGUUGCGUGUAAUCCUGCAAAAAUCAGGAAGGCAUUCAGGAUUUUGUACAAGAAUUUCCAAAUAUUUUCUUAAAAAUUUUUGAGCAUAUACCUCAUUUUGUUGAGACUUUGGAGAUGCAGCUGAUUCAAUCAUUGUCUCCAGCAAAAAUCAGGAAUGCAUUCAAGAAGUACAAAAGCUUUCCAAAUAUUACUUCAAAACUCAACAAUAUUUAUUGGUUACAUACCUCAUGUGUCAAAUUAGGCUGUUGAGACAUUGGAGAUAAAGGUGUCUCACUCGAUGGUUGCGUGUGAGACAUUGGAGAUAAAGGUGUCUCACUGGAUCGCUGUUUGUCAAAUAUUAGGAAGGCAUUCAAGAAUAUGUACAAGAUCUUCAAAAAAAUACUUGAAAAUGCAAAUGUAAAAGAACAUGUUUUGAGAAUUUACCUUUUGUGUCACGUUAGUGGGAAAAACAUUGUUGUUUCCUUCCAACUCUGACACACGAGCUCUAAGAUGUAUGUUUUCUUCUUCUAGUAAUGACAUUCGAUCCUUCAUGCUCUUCAGAUUCUCCUCCAUUACCGUGAUGAUCCUGUUCACUUUUUCAUUUACUGAAUCCUCAUCAAUCGGAGUAGAAGCUUGGCCAGUCUCCUUAUUUGCCAUCAUUUGAAUAAGAGCAUCCAAUGUGUCAAAUGUGUCUACACACCUAUUUUCCCAGUCAUCGGCUGUAAUCUUGUACCCUUUCUUUGUUACAUCUUUCACUGUUUCCAGCUCGUCACUAUAUUUGUCUUCAAUGGAGAUAUCAUCUUCUGGAUCAUGAGGAAUAGAAGGUAGUAUGCAAUGGACCUUCAGCUGAGAGUAUUUAAAAAAAGACCAAUGAGAAACAUAUUAAAAAGAAGAAGCCAAAUAAACUGAGAAACAUAUACUUGGAAAAGCUUACCUUUGUAUCAGCUUCAACCUGUAAAACCCUAUCAAGUGAUGGAUUCUCUACCUCAGUGUAUUUUUCACACAAGUAAGUCGGCCCAGGAACCUCAACUGUUGGUACACACUUACUGAACUUAUCCCUUAGCAAAGGAAUCGACUCUAGUAUCCAAAGAAGGAAUACUAGAGGAUAACCUUGCAACUCAAAUUUGGAUUUAUUCUCCAAAUGAUUCGCGACAGCGUUUUGAAUUGACUUCAGGAGCACAAUGUAAGCCUCUUUUCCCCAUGGAUAUGUCAUAUCCUGUGCAUUUUUCGCAUAUUCCAAAGGAAAACUCCCUCCUUUGCUCUUCCGCAAUAAUAUGCUCUCUACCAGGAUGAGCAUUGCGAGGCAUAUUCUCUCCUCAGAAGCAUCUUCUCUUGUGUUUCUGAGCUGGUCCACCAUGUCACUUAACUUAUGACUACGCCCCUUUAGCAAUUCCCAAUUAAAUCUCUCGGUUUCCCUUCGUGGUCCUUCUAAUGCACCACUACAUUUCAAGCCUGUCAUCAUAUGAAAUUCUCUUAUAGAGAACCUCAUUGGCUGCGCACCGAAAUGGAACCAGGCUUCAUUCUCCUUGACAGAAACGAUGCUUCUAGUGAGAAUGGCGUAGACUAUCUUUGCUGAUAACUUCAAUCCUCUCUCACUGAGCUUCAUUACAGGUCCCAGAAAUGAUCCUCGGACUCUUAUCAUCUCAUCUGGUUUUAGGAUGCUUUUGACAAUAGAGAUAUAAUCUGAACCAGAGUAUUGGUUGAUUGCUGACUUUUCCUUUGGCUGUGAACCAAUAGGAUACUUCAGCUCUGGCAGUGCUAGUUUUAGAGGUACUGAAUCUCCCAUCUUGUUUCUAUCCUGCGUAAACAAGGAAAAAAAAAAUUUCAAACUUUUUUGGAAGGCUUUCCUGAAAUAACACAACAAAUGCUUCCUGAAAUUCUUAUAAACACUAGACAGUUUCACAAGCAACAAAAGACUCAUAAGCAAAUUCAAGACCCUAUCAAAAAUAUCAACAUUCCUAAUCAAAACAAGACUCCAAGCAAAAAAGUUUCAAAAUGUGUUACCAUCCGAGUUUCAAUUUUCAACAUUUAAUAGAUGCAGCAACAAAUGCUUUCUGGAAAUCUUCUAAAAACAUUCAAUAGAUGCAGCAAGAGACAACAAACUUUUAUUUUAUAAAUUUGUACAAACACACAGAAGGUUGAAUCUGCAACAUACCUCAAAGAGAUGAAUUAUGCUCCAACAACUUUGUGUUCCCACAAUUCAAAAGUCUUUCAUUUGCUUCGCUGGUUAAUAAGAAAGAGUAACAAACAAAUCAAAAUCAAAACGCAAGCUUCCCAAAUUUUAAUUCAAAAAACCUAAUUUUAAAAAGCUACAUAGUGAUUUGUGUCCGAUUUUGAGAGUAGAGAGUGUGACGCUGAUGAUUAGAUAGCCGGAGAAGAUGAUUAGCGAGCCGGAGAAGAUGAUUAGCGAGCGGGAGAAGAUGAUUGGCGAGCCGAAGAAAAUGAUUAGCGAGCCGAAGAAGAUGACUAGCGAGCCGGAGAAGAUGAUUCCCGAGCCGGAGACGACGAUUCCCGAGUCGGAGAAGAUGAUUCCCGAGCCGGAGACGACGAUUCCCGAGUCGGAGACGACAGUGCCGGUGAGGGUUUGAAGAUUCCAGAGAGGAGACGACAGGAUUCGCGAUCGAAGGAAAUGAAAUGUUUUUUUUUUAUUCUUAUAACAAAGGGUAUAAGGGUAAAUUACCCCUUUAAUGAAACCUAUUUUUGUGACUUUCUCCUUCUAGUGCUAUUUUUGGGACAUAAACUUCAAAAGGUGCUAUUAUUGACAAUUGCCCUUAACUAAAUAUAAAGUAUAAUAAAGAGAAAUACUCAAUAUAUAGAAAAAUAAAUAAUAAGUAAAUAUUAUAAAUAUAUAAAUAUACGAAUUAUAUAUACAAUAAUAAGUAAAUGCAUAAUUUUUAAAAAAAUGAAAAGAGUACAUUAAAUAUUAAACAUCUAUCUUAAAAUGUAAAAUAUAGAUUUAAAUAAAUAGAAAGUAUAAGAAAAAGAAAUACACAACUUAAAAACAAUGGAAAAAGUAUAUUAUGAUUUAAACAUCUAUCUUAAAAUGUAAAAUAUAGAUAUUACGCAAAUAGAAAGUAUAAGAAAAGGAAAUACACAAUUUAAAAAAUGGAAAAAGUACAUUAGUAUUUAAACAUCUAUCUUAAAAUGUAAAUCUAUCUUAAAUUAUAAAAUUAUUUGAAAAUAGAAAGUAUAAGAAAUAGAAAUACACAAUAUAAAGAAAAAUAAAUAAUAAGUAAAUAUAUAAUAUAAGUAAAUACCCAAUUUAAAAAAUGGAAAAUUACAUUAAGAUUUAAAAAUAUAUCUUAAAAUUUAAAAUAUAGAUAUUACGUAAAUAGAAAGUAUAACAAAUGGAAAUAUACAAUUUAAAAAAAAAUGGAAAACGUACAUUAAGAUUUAAACAUCUAUCUUAAAAUGUAAAAUAAAUAUAUUAUGUAAAUAAAAAGUACAAGAAAUGGAAAUACAUAUACAGGAAAAUAAAUUAUAAGUAAAUAAUGUAAAUAUAUAAUAUAUGAAUUAUAUAUAAUAAUAAGUAAAUACACAAUUUUUUAAAAAAUGGAAAAAGUUCAUUAAGCAUUAAACAUCUAUCUUAAAAUGUAAAAUAUAUAAUAUAAGUAAAUACACAAUUUAAAAAAAAUGGAAAAAGUACAUUAAGAUUUAAAUAUAUAUUUUUAAAUAUAAAAUAUAGAUAUUACGUAAAUAAAAAUAUAAGAAUUUUUUUUUUAAAAAAAGGAAAAAGUUCAUUAAGCACUAAACAUCUAUCUUAAAAUGUAAAAUAUAUAAUAUAAGUAAAUACACAAUUUAAAAAAAAUGGAAAAAGUACAUUAAGAUUUAAAUAUAUAUUUUUAAAUAUAAAAUAUAGAUAUUACGUAAAUAAAAAUAUAAGAAAUGGAAAUAAACAUUUUAAAAAAUGGAAAAAAUACAUUAAGAUUUAAACAUCUAUCUUAAAAUGUACAUAUCUCUUAAAAUGGUAGUAAAUUAUAUAAAAAUUGAAAUACCACAUUAAACAAAAAAAAACAAAAAUUUAUAGUUUUACAUCAAGAAAAUCUUUAUAAAACUCAUUAUUCCAUCAACCUCACCCUAUCAAGGAAAACUUCAAAGCACUCGAGCAAAAAAAUGGUUCCACCAUCAACUUUUGCCGUCCCAAAAACCUUUAAUGACCUUGAAUGAGAUUUUUUAUAACAACGAACUUUUUGUUAGGUGGAUUCAUUGUUGGGAAACCCGCAACUUCCAAAAGCCAAACUUAUUUAUGGGAAUUGAAUUGCUUUUCAUAGACUCAAAGUUAUUCUUACAAAUUUAAUUAGUCUAAUCCAUAAUUUUAUUGUUAAUAUUCAUAGUAACUCUUUCAUGAUCAAACUAUUACAGUUAAUAACCAUUCAAGCGUUUAUCCCGAAACACUUCCUUCCUCACCGAAUCAGGUAUUGGUUCAUGUUGGUUUAGUAUUGUUUUUGGUUUAUUAACCGGUUUAGGAUGGUCCUAUUGUAAAUAUAAUUUAAAUUGGUUUAGCAUAUAUUAUGCUUAAAAUAACUUAAAUUAAAUAAUAGUAAUGUUAUGCUUAAAAUAUAAUUUUAGAGAGUUUUCAAAUAUAGUUUACAGAACAUUAUAGGUGAUGAAUUUAAUUUACUAAAUUCAUUUAUUUCUUAAAACUAAGUUUUUUUUUUUAAAAACAUACUGAGUUAUAAAUAUCAAUGAUGGAUUGGUGUGUAUAACAUGAAGACAAAAUAUAAAUAUUUGAUUUUCAAGAUAAGAAAUUCAGUUUUUAUUCAGUUACUCAAUAUAUAAUAUCUUAAAUUAUUUUUUUUUAAAAUAUACAUAAUUUAUAUAUAUAUUAAUGUUCCAAACUUAAACUAUUAUAUUAUAUAUGAAUAAUUUUAAAAAUAAAUAUAAUUUCUGAUUUUAAAAAAAUAAAAACAAUAAAUUGUUAUUUUCAAAUAAUGGAUGUAAUUUACAUAAGAUACGUUUUGAUAUAUCAUUAUUUUCUAUUUCCAGAAAACAAUAAAUUGUUAAACAUCAAUAUCAUCUAGGUUAAGUAUACGAAUAUCACAAAUUCAAACAUCACAAAAAAUAUUUACAUAAAAAUUAUAAUACAAUAAUUUAAUCAAAAAAUACAAUUAAAAAAAAAACAAUAUUCAAAAGAACAGUUAUCCCCUAUAUAUUAAAAGAGAAGCAUUACAACAUAUUUUUGUAGCCACAUGUCAUCACCACAAUCAUUCUUAGAAUCCUUAGAAAAAUAUGUUGGUCCAUAUAAAUAUAUAAUAAGUUUUUUAUUAAACUAACCAUAAAUUAAUCAUAAAUGUUCUUCAUUGUUUUCUUAAUUUUGGACCCAUAAGAACUAUAAGUACUACAUUCCGUUUAGCAUAGUUUUCAAAAUUGGUUUUCUAUUUUUAUACUUUCACACCAAAUGUUACAUUCUCAUUUCAAUGAAUAAAUUCUCAUCGCUUACAUGUGUUGUCCUUAUGCUUCAAAUUAAUAGUUAUAACUUUAUCUCCUUUAAAACAGCAAUGAACAAUCUUCUCAAAAACCGUAAUGCACACUUUACUUGGAACCUAAGAUACUUCAAAUAAGUUUGUAGGUGUUGAGCUGAGUGACAUAAUAUACACGCCCACACACAUAAGAGUCCAAAUUAGAGAAACACACAAUUCACCAACAAAUUAUGGACUACUAACUAUAAAAAAAAAUACAAUAAGAAAGUCCACAGACACCUCAAACAUAAUCCCUACAAACCCUAAAACCAUUUAAGACCAUAAUGUCAAAAAAAUACACUGCUUUUGCAAAAACGAACAAAAUACAACGAAAGUAUACAAUUAUAUAAUUACAUAGAACACAUGACUGACCCUAUUUCUUAUAUAAUAACAAUUUAUAUAAAAUAUAUAGUCUAACUAUUUUAAUUAUUUUUUUUAAUUCUCAUCCCGCCCGUAGGGCGGGCCGACCCUAGUAAUAUUAUCAAAGUCCAAUUCGGUAAGGAGCAAUCCUUUAGACAAGGAGUUUAAGGAUUAAGUCCUUAGUGACGUGGCCGCGUCUCAUUGGAUAGAGAGAAAUAUAUAUAUCUAUGUAAGGAUUCCUAAUCAGAGAUCACUAUUGAACACACCAUUUUUACUAGAAUCAUUAACUAUUCAAACAAAAAAAAAACUAAAAUAAUGGUAAGGACUCUAAGAAAGAGUCCACCAUUGCAUAUGCUCUCAUGUUCUCAGUGGAUCCAAAUUCGUCCUUCAUUGACGCUGUUUUGAUAUUAGGUUAUGACGAAGAGUAGAUCAAUUAAACUAAAACGCUGGUUUGGUUUCAGAAAGCAAAACCUUUUGAGAAAACGACUUAUUUCCCCUUCGAAACUAUCAUAUACCAAUAGAUCCACCUGAAGUUUAAUUUGACUUCGAUUUAAGUUUACAUUACCCACAGUUCUCUUUGCUCAUUGUGCCUCAACGCAUUCUCUCUAUUGUAUUAAACAGAUCAGUGAGCCGAUGCUUUGUCCUUAUUCCCAUGUGGAUACAAUUUUUAGGUCCUAUUAAGGAGACGCGCCCCAAAUGUGACUAUGAGUCGAACCAGAAUGAUAUACGAUUCCCAUCUUCACUUCUAUGUGGUGACCAGGUCAUUCUGGUUCGACUCAUGGUCAGACAUGUUUGUUACAUCAGCCAUUCUUUCCAAUAAGAUUGUAAAUGCGUAAUCGUAUGUUACAUCAGCCAUAUGAAUAACUAAGAAAUAUUAGAUUCUUCAUUGUAAAUGUAAUAUAUUCGGUUUAUGUAGACAGGUCUUUUAAAAAUAUAUUGGAAUAUUAAUCGAUUGAGUGAGUUAAAUUAAGAAAAGGACAAUAAGCAUGAGCACACAUACCAACAAGUAAACCUUAUUAUCACUUCCACAAGAUAAGCCGUCUACAAGGAAACAAACUAAAUCACGAGAAAUACAUUUUUAAAAAGUGCUAUAAAAUAAUGAUAAACUCAUACGAUUCAAUAUAUUAUAUAAAUACUACUUUACGUCGACGAAACUCAAAAAGAAAACUGGUUUAUGAUAUGGCUCCUAUCAUCCUAAGAAAUAUUUAUACCAUCGUACCCUCUGAACCUACAUGGGCCGGUUGUUUUCCAUUAGCCGAAUGGGAUCUAGUUGGUACAAUAACUCACGUUCCUACCGUUUACUUCUAUAACAAGCCAUCUGAAUUGUUCCAGGGCAAUGUAGUCGAAACCCUAAGAAACUCGUUGAGCCGUGCGCUUUUUCACUUCUACCCUAUGGCCGGCCGUCUUAAGUGGCUCCCUCGGGGGCGGUUAGAGCUUGAUUGUAACGCGGAGGGAGUGUCAUUCAUGGAAGCCGAGUCCGAGGCAAAACUUUCAGAUUUCAACGAUUUCUCUCCAACGCCAGAAUUUGAGAAACUUGUUCCGCAAGUAAACUACAAACACCCUAUUGAAACGAUCCCUCUCUUCUUAGCUCAGGUCACCAGAUUUAAAUGCGGCGGAAUAAGCCUCGGCGUCAGCAUUUCACACGCGGUGGUCGACGGACAGAGCGCGUUUCACUUCUUGUCUGAAUGGGGAAGAAUCGCUCGCGGGGAACCUCUUGAAACCACUCCAUUUCUCGACCGCAAAAUCCUCUGGACUGGUAAACCGCUUCCGCCGUUUGCCUCCCCACCUCAGUGCGAACGCAAAGGGUUUGAACAGCCACCGUUGCUGAUCGGAGAAACGGACAAUGUAGAAGAAAGAAAGAAGAAAACAACUGUAGAGAUACUAAAACUUAGCAAAACUCUGAUUGAGAAGCUUAGAAGCAGAGUGAAUACAAGUGAAUACGCUGACCCAGCUAGAGGGUUUACAAGGUACGAGACGGUCGCGGGACAUGUGUGGAGGUGCGCGUCUAAAGCACGUGGGCACUCCCCAGAACAACCCACGUCUCUGGGAAUCUGUGUAGAUACUCGUAGUCGGGUGCAGCCACCUUUACCACGCGGCUACUUUGGCAAUGCCACUAUUAAUGCGGUCGCAAGAAGCACCUCAGGUACGUUUUGUCAAAUUUUAAAAGUUGUUUAAUCUAAUUUUUCUGCUGCUAUUUUGUUUUUGUUUUUGCUGAGAUUUGUUCUAGAAAUAAAUUUUAAUUAUUUAAAUACUUUGAUAUUUAUAUCAUAUUAUUGAAAAGGAAAAUACAAAACAAUAUAUUAUAGUUAUUUUUGUUACAAAAUUUAACUAUUUAAUGUAGUAAUUUACCAAUAUUAUUAAAUAAAAAUAUAAUUUAAUAUUUUAAUAUUCAGUGUUGAGAGAAUAUAUGAAAAUACAAAUAUAUUACUUUUAAUAUUUUAAACUAAUUAAUAACAUUAAUUUAAUUUCUUAUUAAAUAAAAAUAAAAUAUAUUAUUUAAUUGUUUGGUGCAAUGAAUAUUGUUCACCAAGUUUGGUGUGAUACUAUUCACAAAAUAUCAAAUUUAGUGAUACGACUUUAUCUAUAUAAUUUCUUGAGAGUAAAAUUACACUAAUUCGCUUGAGGAAAAUAAACCCAAUAUAGCGAAACCCCUCUGGCUACACAAAUAUGAGCUAUUGCUUUCAGAUCAUUUGAAUAUCCAGGAGAGGGUCUAUCUGUGGGCUGUACCUCCACCCGAGGAUUAAGUCUGUGUCUUUAAUAGACCCGGGUUUAAUCCUUUUAGUUUACAAUAAAAAAAAAUUACACAAAUUUGGUUUUUUAGUAUUAUUGGAGUUGGCCUAAACAAUAAUACAUCACCAUCUCAAUCAAUCUAAUCGCAGUCAGUUAAAAAUAUUUUCAAUCGGACAUGUAAGCUAGCAUUAGAAAGAAUAUACUUCUUGAACAUUUACAAUAGGAAUUCAAAUAUAGAUGAAAGAACUCUUGGUAGCUUAUCAUGCCCGUUUAGUCAGACCAGUCUUAUUUUCCCCCGAUUCUGGGAGUUUAAUGUAGCUAACUAAUUUCACACUAAUAGGCAUUUAGGGAUAUCAUACAAUGUGAUUUCUAUAUAUUUCGAUAAUUUUCUUAUGCAUAUAGGUGAACUCAUAUCGAAUGGGUUGGGUUUCGCGGCCGAAAAAAUUAGUGAAGCCAUAAAGAGUGUGACAAACGAAUACGUAAUGACUGGAAUAGAGUAUCUAAAAAACCAUGAGGAUCUGAAGACGUUUCAAGAUAUACAUGCGUUGGGCAGCACGGACGGUCCAUUCUACGGAAACCCUAAUCUUGGACUUGUGAGCUGGUUAACUCUACCAAUGUACGGCCUUGAUUUCGGGUGGGGAAAGGAGGUCCACAUGGGACCAUGCACGCAUGACGGCGACGGGGGCUCUCUGCUACUACCUGAUAAAAAUGAUGACGGCUCGCUGAUUCUCGCCACGUGUCUACAGGUAGCUCACAUGGAGGCCUUCAAGAAACACUUAUAUGAAGAUAUCUAGGGUUCUAUAUAUACACACAAGUACUCAUAUAUAUAUAUAUAUAUAUAUAUGCAUUUCAUUUCCAUUUGAAUAAGGAUUCAAGUAGGGAUUCUACUACUGUUGGUGUGAUUCUUCAUUUGUAAUAACACAUUUACACAUAUAUAGUUAAACUUUAUAUUUUUGCUUACUAAGUAUGUGGUAUAUAUUGAAUUUAGAGAUGAGUUUGUCUAUAUCAACAGUUGGAAUGUUAGAAAACCUUUCUUAAAAAAAAAAAAAAAAACAGUUGGAAUGAUCUUAAUGCAUUUGACUAAGAACGGGUUAUUUGUCAAAUCCAUAUAUAGCUGUUUAAGACUAUCAUUGUAGCAAUCCAUCAGAAGAUUUAAUUAUGGAACGUAUGUUUGUGCGAUAGCUAAAAUUGAGACAAAAAAUAUAUUGCUAAAAUUCAAUUAGACCAAUUAUAAUUUGUGAACAUGAUAGCUUUUCAAGCCUUGCUAAUAGUAUUAUUUAUUGAGCAUAUAUAGGCCUCAACUCGUGGAUAUAGUUUGAACAGAAUAGCAGAAAAAUGAUUACAAUUUAUAAUUGUAAGUUAUAGGACUGAAUGAAUCUUUAUUAACACCGUAGAAGAGUAUUUAUACAAUAUACAAGGUAGGGUAUUUCUGUAUUCUACUGUAUUUACAUAAUAGUCCUUUGAGGACUUCUAUAUUGCCUUAUACGCCCCCUCAAGAUGGUGGAACUCUUGUGACACCAAUCUUGCGACAAAGUGUUUCAAACGGUAUUCUUGGGAGAGGUUUGGUGAGGCCAUCGGCUAGCUGAUCUCGUGUGGACACAUGAGUGACUCGAAGAACUCCAUUCUGUAUCUGUCCUCGCACAAAGUGAUAGUCGAUGGCGAUAUGCUUCAUUCGCGAGUGGAAGACAGGAUUUUGACAGAGAUACGUUGCUCCAACGUUGUCACAGUAGACAGUCGGAGUUGCAGUGAUGUUGAUGCCGAGUUCUGUUAGGAGUGAGCAUAUCCAGCGUAGUUCCGCGGAGGUAUUGGCGACGGCCCUGUAUUCCGCUUCCGUCGAAGAUCUUGCUACACUCUUCUGCUUGCGUGACGACCAAGAAACCGGAUGACUGCCUAGAUAGACAAUGAAACCGUUUGUGGAUACAUAGUCGUCUGAGUCUCCGGCCCAAUCUGCGUCUGAAAACGCAUGUAUGGUUGAGUUCGGUUGCCUCCGCAGAAAGAUGCCGUGGCUCAAUGUUCCUGAUAAGUACCGCAAGAGGCGUUUGACAGCAAGCCAGUGGUCAGAGGUCGGCUUAUGCAUGAAUUGAGAGAGUCGGUUGACUGCAUACGAUAUAUCAGGCCUGGUGAGUGAAAGGUACUGUAGGCUCCCAACAACCUGUCUAUACUCUCGAGGAUCUGCGAGAUGAGUACCGGACUGAAGUGUUAACUUCGGUGAAGAUGCCAUGGGAGUGGAGACAGGUUUCGAAUGCAGCAUAUUAGUCUUGGUAAGUAAGUCUGUGACAUACUUCCGCUGCAUCAGAUGCAUUCCAUCUCGGGUUCGAAUGGCUUCUAUCCCCAAGAAGUAACUUAAGUUUCCCAUAUCUUUAAUGGAAAAUUUCUGAGCAAGAAGAUCAAUGACUCGUUGCACCAGGGACGUAGAGGUUCCCGUGACAAGAAUGUCAUCAACAUACACCAGCAGGUAGACAAAGUCCUUUCCGUGCUUCAUGAUGAACAGCGAGGUGUCAGAUAGUGAAUUGAUGAAUCCUGUCGAGAUGAGAAACUUGUGAAGUUCAGAGUACCAGGCUCUAGGCGCUUGUUUUAAGCCAUACAGUGCCUUCCUUAAGCGACAAACCUUGGUGGGAUUAUCAGCAUCGACAAAGCCCGGGGGUUGACAGAUAUAAACUUCUUCUUGUAGGUGACCUUGGAGAAAAGCCGUGUUGACAUCAAUCUGUCUCACAGGCCAGGAGUUGUUGACUGCGAGUCCAAGAACAAUCCUUAUCGUCGUAGGUUUGAUUACCGGACUGAACGUAUCAGUAUAGUCAAUACCAGGUUGUUGAUGAUAGCCCUUGGCGACCAGUCGAGCUUUGUAGCGGUCAAUCUCUCCGUUGGGAUGAUAUUUGAUUGUGAAAAUCCAGUGACAGCCCACAAUAUUCAUUCCCUUACACGCAGAUGCCAGAUCCCAUGUAUGAUUCUUAACCUGUGAGUUGAACUCCGCAAGCAUGGCUGCUCGCCAUUUGGGGUGUUUCAUAGCUUGUUGCCAGGUUGUGGGGAUCCAGCGCGGGUCUGUUUGGAGAUUGACAGUAAGAUUAUACUUACUAACUGGUUUGACGAUAUUGUUCCUUGAUCUCGUUGUCAUGGAGUGCCGUUGAGGUGGAGCAGGCACUGUAGUUGUCGUUGGUUCAGCAUUGGGUGUGACCGCUUGUGUCGCAUCACCAGUGGGAGGCACUGUAGUUGGGACCUCUGGUUCUGACACGUUGGUCGUCGAGUGAUGUGAAGACGUUGGAGACGGUGAUGGUGUUGCCUGCGGCAAAGUUUCAGAGCUCGGUGGUGAGCUCUCCGGAGUCGCCGUUGGCGAUUGUACGAGUGGUGUCGAGGAUGGGAUGGUUGUGUGUGGUUGAUAGGGAAGGUUCGGGUCGUUGGUUUCUGGGUGUGGGCUUGUGGGUUGUUGUCUCAGCUGUUGGUAAGGAAACAAAGUUUCAUUGAAUCUCACAUGGCGGGAUGUAUACACUCGGUCUGUUGUGGGGUCAAGGCAGUAGUAAGCACUCUGAGAUAAUGAGUAACCUACAAAGACACAAGGUGUGGACCUGUGUUCGAGUUUGUUGGGUGCGUAAGGCCUGAGCCACGGAUAACAUAGGCUCCCAAACGUUCUCAGCUUGCCAUAGUUGGGUGUGGUUUGAAAAAGUUUUUGGAAUGGUGAGGUAUUGUUGAGAACAGGGGUGGUGAGGCGGUUGAUUAGGAAUGUAGCUGUGGCAAAGGCUUGUGGCCAGUAUGUGAGGGGCAUUUUGGCUGUGGAGAGAAGUGCCAGACCAGUUUCGACUAUGUGUCGAUGCUUUCUUUCUGAUAAGCCAUUAUGCUCAGGUGUAUGUGGUGGGGAUGUAAGGUGGGAGAUGCCAUGUUCGGCUAGGUAAGGGCGUAGGGCUAGGAACUCGCCGCCAUUGUCCGAGUAUAGGUGUUGUAUUUUGGUUUUGAAUCUGGUUUCAACCAGUGGUUUGAACUGGAUAAAGAUGGUUUUGACUUGGGAUUUAGCUGUAAGCGGAAACAGCCAGCUAUAGCGGGUGAAAUGGUCAACAAAGACAACAUAGUAUUUGUGGUUUUGGUGAGAUGUGACUGGAGACUGCCAGACAUCAGUGAAGAUAUAUUGAAGAGGUGUAGUCGAGUGUAUGGAACUUUGUUGAAAGGGUAAUUUAUGAGUUUUAUUGAGGAGGCAUUCAUUGCAAAGAAAACCACAAGAAGAAGUAGUGUUUAGGCAAGGUAAAGAAAACUUUGAAACAACAAACUUAAGAGUAGAUAAAGAAGGGUGUCCAAGCCGGUUAUGCCAUCGGUCUAGUGUGGUUUUGGUAUCGGGGUAGGUUGCGUAGGCAGAUGGGUUAGGGUUCGGCUUGGGCCACUCGUACAGCUCAGCCUUCGUGCGACCUUGGAGUAACUGCGCCCCCGAGCUGAGAUCCUUCACCUGAAAAUGUGCAGGAAAGAAUUCAACAGAGACACCAUUAGCAUUGCAGAGCCGAUACACAGAUAUCAGAUUCUUAUUGACAUUCGGAACACAAAGGAUAUCAUCUAAUUUGAGUGGUUUAGAUGAAGUAGGAAUAGAUAAAGAACCAGUGUGUGUUAUCGGCAUGGUUGAGCCGUCUGCAAUGGCCACUUCUUCUCCUCCGUUGUAUGGUUGGUGCAGUGCGAGGUUGUUAAGGUCGGAAGUGAGAUGAUGUGUAGCUCCACUAUCCAGUAGCCAUGGAGUUGUAUUGUACGGCGAGCUGGAGAUGUAGUUGGCACGUGGCUGCCACGGGUUUUGCGCGGGGGAGAACUGAUGUUGGACCAUCGACUGUCCUCCUGAUGCUUGGCGUUGAGGGCAGGUACGUGCACUAUGGCCAUAGGUACUGCAAAUUUGGCACCGGCCUUGGUAACCCCGUGGUGCAGUCGUUUGCGAUGACUGGUUGCUGUUCGGACCAAACUGUUGCUGCUGCUGCCAUGUCUGAUUGCCACGAUAGCCUCCACGACGGUUGUUGUUUGAUUUGUUGUUGUGCGAACCUCUGUAGUUCGUGUAGUUGGCUGAGACAGGCGCAGUCGAGACAGGUGGAAUGGCAGCCUGCAGUUUAGCUUCUUGAUUAAUGAGUUUCUCAUGUAACUCAGCAAGCGAAGGCGCGGUAUCACGACUCUCAAUCUGAUCAAUCAGUGUCUUGUACUCAUCUGGAAGGCCAGUCAGUACCCGCUCAACCUGAUCUUCAUGAUCCAUCGGCUUACCUAGGAGAGCCAGUUCAUCAAAACGAGUUGUAAGUCCUUGAUAGUACUCGUUGAUCGACUUGUUUCCUUUAGUCCAGUUGUCGAUCUGUUGUUUCAGCUGUUUGAUGUGUCCUCUGCUUGGUUUAGCAUAGGUGGAGCUGAGAGUUGUCCAGAUCUCCACAGCCGUGUUGGUGGUAGAGAGGAUUGGUUGAAUGGUAGUGGUUAUCGCGCCGAGGAGGCCGCUGUAGAUAAGCUUGUCUUGACGUUUCCACAGCGCGAAGGCAGGGUUGGGGGCUUCCCCUGUUUCCGUCGUGAUAGUGGCUGGAGGGAUGACCGUAGAGCCAUCAACAUGUCCGGCGAGAUCAUAUCCAUCAAGCAAGGCGUGAACUUGGCGAUUCCACAUCAGGAAAUUGGAGGCGGUGAGCUUUGUCACAUUUGUCAUGUUGACGUUGAGCAGAGUAGGGUUGGGGGAGACGGUUAUGGUCUCGUUUCUGAAUGCUUGAUUCUCAGACAUGUUCGACAUCGUGAGUUGCAAGGAAGAAGAUGAGAAAAUUUUGAAAAAUUUAAGAUGGCGGCUGUUAGGUUAUCACUGCUCUGAUACCAUGUAAGUUAUAGGACUGAAUGAAUCUUUAUUAACACCGUAGAAGAGUAUUUAUACAAUAUACAAGGUAGGGUAUUUCUGUAUUCUACUGUAUUUACAUAAUAGUCCUUUGAGGACUUCUAUAUUGCCUUAUAAUAAUACCGUUGGCACAUUAUAGCUAGUUUCAUUUUGCUAAAUUAGUUUGAAGGGCCUUAUCAUUCUACAACCUGAGGAAUAAGAUCAUUUGAUUUUUCUUUACUAAACUGCGGAUCAUUUUCCAACAUUUGAGUGACGGACAUAUAUUUUUUGUUGAUAAACUAACAUUUGAUCACCGGAGAGAAUCUAAUCACUGAAGCAAAUGAGAUACCAACGGUCUUCAGACCCGCUCAUUAUCCCAAUAUCAGUACUGGGAACAUCAGUUUUAAGUAAAGCAUUUCUAUGGGUAUCUUCGGCCCUUUAACACCUCUAUCCGUUAUUGUUGUUGUAGUUUAUUUUUAUCGUUUAGUCGUCGAGGUUACCUAUACUUGUAACCUUAUAAGCCUAUUGGACAGUCAAUUUUUAAUAUAAGAAUUUGGUGCACAAAAAAAUCACCUGUUGAAAUGAAACAAAGUUUCCUUGUUCAAUAAAACAAUUAAAUUAAAAACAAAGAUCAUAUAUAUAAAUAUCCAACAAAAGAAAAUGAAUGGUUUCGAGUAUAUUAUUAUCCCUAUACUAUUCCAAGCAAGGCAAUGCUGUAAGGAAAAGCAACGAUUCCGGCAAAAGCAGCCUUUGCCACAAACAUGUUGGCCCUCUCAGUGCUGUGGACAUUGUCCCAGUACACGUACCGGUCUCGAAACGCACAAACCGGUUUAUCCGCCGCACAUAGUUCUUCCCCUGAUUCUACCGUACAACAACUCUUUUGUGUUACAGCAAACCCUACAAGAAUGUAAAAAUACGCAUAAUUAUUUUUACUUUUUUUGUUAAAAGUAUACGCAUGAUCAAAUUAUAGGAUCACAAUCCAAUAUUAUAAGUUUUAUCGUGAUUUUACUGCAAUUGUACUACUAUGGAAAAUAAAUGAUCUAACUGAUCAAAUCUCUUAGAGUUGUGACAAAAUGAAGAUUUAAAUUUAUAUUUCAGAAGAAAAUGAAAACGAAGGAAAAUAUUUGAUUUUAAGAUAUCAAGUAUUCCAGGAACACGAUUAUGAAAAGUUAAUGAAGUUUUUUAUUUAUCUAGGAAUCAUCUUCAAAAAGCUUAAUAGCUGAUCAUACAACUGGAUUAGUAAAGCCAUUAGGAAGGAGUUGAUCAUAAACCUUUCCAAAAAAUUUCCUUGUGUAUUUUGGGAAACUUAACUCUGGUAUUCCUUAGAACACCUUAAUGAAAACAGUGUAUUUUAAUUAGUAUUAUACUAUAUGUUUUUAAUCCGGUAAAAUGAUUUCAUCUUGGGUCAAAACUUUCAGUUCAAUAUAUUUAGUAUUACUUACCUAAGGCAGCAUACGCAAAAGGAGUUUGCCCGGUGUACAUAUCGACAAAAGUGAACUUAGCAUCGGCGAAGUUAGUGUUGAACUCUCUGACCAGAGCUUUAAGGUUCAUGUUGAAAGGUUCAACUGCUUUGUUCACUUCAGCGGCACAGCCCAUACCACCAGCAUGGGAGGCGAUCAUCCGCGGGGUGCACCCUAUCCUACUGACCCCAAACAAAGCAACCUUCCUUGCUCCUUGGACAUACAACAACUUAUACAAAAACAAAUGUCUCUAAUUAAUCGGUUUAUAGAUAAUUAACUAGGAGUAAAAUUUGUAGAGAUAUAUCCAAUACUCUGCAUCAUGUUUUAUAUGGAAAUUAAUCAACUAUUUAUAAUGUCAAAAGUUAUUUCAAUGAAAUAUGAAGGUUUAUAAUUCCUUUAUUAAUUUUCUUUUCAAAACCUUGGGUAAUAUUACCUUCAGUAAAGAGCGAUAAUGUCGAAUGAGGGAAUCAGCAAAUUGAUCGUAAGUGUACUUGCGUUGUGUAUUGUACUUAUCACCUUGCAUGAAGUAGUUGUUAAGAUAAUCAUUGCUUCCUAUAUUAAUAGUGUAUAGACAUUGCUUCAGCUUCUCCGGGGGCACGUUUGCAGUCAUAAUCGCCGUCCGGUGGUUCUUGAUUUGCGUUUUAAAACUGAUUCUAUCACCCUAUCGUAAGAAAUAUCAUAAUGCGUAAGUAAUUAAUUUAAGUGUUUAAACACAAAAAAUACAAAUAAGCGAGUCAUAUUUAGGAUCCCUGCCAGAAAAAAGAGAAAAGAGAAAGCAAAUCAACAAAACCAAAUGAUUAUUUGCUUUAAAAAAAAAAUUAUUUAUAGUCACCUAAAACAUUUACAAAAUUAUUUGUGUAUAUUCAUUGGACAGGGAAUCACAACAUUUUAAAUUGUCUUUUUCUAAGUUAGGUUUGAAACCUCAAACUUUCAGAUACAAAAUCUCAAUUUACUAAGACUUAUUCUUAGGUCCACCCCCUAGGGUGAACCUCUAGGUUCACCAACCAAUAAGAUUGUCUUAUUUUAUAUUCGAUAUCUUUUAAAAAAAGAAACAAAAUAUUGUCAAAUUAUAUUAUGUUUUUAAAAUUAAAAGGUAAAAAAAAAAAUUACAAAAAAAAUAUUUUACGUCGUCAGCAUAACAUUAAACCCUAAACCCUAAAUUCUAAUCCCUAAACCCUUAAUCCUAAACCCUAAACCCUUGGAUAAACCCUAAACUGUAGGAUAAAUCUUAAACUCUAGGAUAAAUCCUUAACUCUAAAUCAAAAUCACUAUACACUAAAACAUUCAAGCGUUUUGGGUUUAGGGUUUUAAUCGUUUUUUAUUUAGAGUUUAGGAUUUAUCCAAGAGUUUAGGGUUUAUCCAAGGGUUUAGGGUUUACCCAAGGGUUUAGGGUUUAUGAUUUAAGGUUUAGGGAUUAGGAUUUAGGGUUUAGUGUUUUGUUGACAACAUUAAAAAUAUUUUUUUUUUUAAUUUUUUUUUUCUGUAACUAUUAUCUUUUUUUACUUUUUUAUUUUAAAAACAUAAUAUAAUUUGAGAAUAUUUUGUUUCCUUUUUUUAAAAGAUAUCGAAUUUGAAAUAAUGAAAUCUUAUUGGUUGGUGAACCUAGAGGUUCACCCUAGGGGGUGAACCCAAGAAUGACUCAUUUACUAAUUAGUUUCGUAUCAGCCAGACAUUAGAGCCACCAAAUGAGAACAUAUGAUCACUGCGCGUCUUUUGAAUCAGUAUUACUAAAUUUAGUAGUACGUUUAGGAAAGUUACUUAACCAUAUAUGUAGAUAUAGUAGUAUUGGUAAAAAUUAAAUACCCGAGGAAAAAUAAAGAUAUCUUUAUUUUGAUCUCUUUUGCUUCUAAAUUAUGUUCUUACCAGAUGGUAGCUAGUAUCUUCGAGAAUUCCCGCGCCGCCAGAAGCGUAAUUUAAACCGGUGUGAGCUUGUUCCGGCGAUGCUCCGGUGAAAGGUGGAAUGUAAUCACUGAAUCUCAUUAGUUCAGCUAAACACAACAUAAUUCAAACUCAUAUUAGACAAGAAACCAUAUACAAUACUUAUGAAUGAUAAACACAAUAACCUUUAAAAAAAGUAACAGAUUCACAAGAAACCAUUCACAAAAUUUGUUUUUUCCUUUUGGGAAAUUGAUUCUUAAAUACAUUAGGGCAUCAUUAGGCCAUGCUCAUCGUCAGUAAUUAGAUAAGAUAUGUAAACAAUAAAACAAUAUAAACUCAAAAAGUAAAAGUAUGAGAGGUAAGACAUUUUGAGACCCCCUCUGUCAUUUGAGAGGUCACAAGAAUAUUUUAAACUAUCUUUAAUGUAUUUUGCUAUUUUUUCUCUAAAAUAAAAAAAAAAACUUUAUAAUAAAGAUGAAAGAGUAGACGUCAAAAAAAAAAUAGAAAAAUGAGUAAUUUUUUUUAUUUUUAAGAAAUAAAGAUGAUUUAGAAUAAUUUUAUCCCUAAAUAUUAUUAUAAAGAUAAAUAUAACAGUGGGUGGAGAUGAUCUUAAGAAACUAUAGGGACACUUGUCAUCUUUUUAAAUCAUUAUUUUUGUCUAAAAUUAAAACUAAACAUAUUCAAAAGUAAUGAUAUUUAUUCAGAUCCUCAAGUAAGUAUCUCCAAUAUUGGAGUUGCUAUUAAUCAAUGAUAUUUAUCGCCAGAGACUCUGCAGAGUUUCAAAACAAAACAAAAAUUGAUGUUUUUAGAUUUUUAAACAAUGAAUGUCUAAAAACUAAGCAAAUGUUUUUUUUUCCAGAAGUGUUAUAUAUAGUCUCUCACGAAGAGAUCGUUUUGUGUGAUAUAGUCUCUCAACGGAGAGAUUUUCUUACCUUUCUCAUCCUUUUACUUCUCUUUUAUUUAUUUAUAUAUUUUGAGAAACUUUAAACCACCUAUGUGGGUGUGUGAUAAGCAAAACUUUAUUUAUCUACUUACAUAGUCUCUUAAUUUGCAUCUAUGACUGUUCUGCAUAACACUGUCUAGUUCUAAUGUUUGCAUUUCUUUUUAUGUUCCAUUGAAAAUAUCAGCUAAAAGAGAAAUGCCUACAUUCUAAACUUCCAGUUAGGCAAAGAAUACGUUAUGAUACGUUUGUCUUUUAUAGUUAAUAGUAUCUAUUAGUAAUUUCAUCGAAAACAUUUGGGCAAAGAAAUAAAACAAGCCAGGGACUAACCGAUAAAGUCGGGAAUAUUACGGCCAUUGCUGAACCGGCCCGUGGGACCUCUAGCUAAAUCCAUACCAUAAGGUGAAUGGUUAACUUUAGCGGAGGUGUUCAAGUCAUUGUUGUUACCGUUGUCGAAAACUGAGUCUCCGAAAACGAAAUAGCAAGGCACGCGCUGUCCACGAGCCCCUUCGGCCAUUGCAAACACCAUUGCCGCUAAACCCCACAGCAAUACCUUGAACGUUCCCUCCGCCAUUUCUGAAAACCAAUUACUAGAAAUCUGAAAUGUGGCAACAUUGAAGAAAAGAGAAAAGUCUAUAUAUAUAACCCAUACAUAGGAAGAGACAGACAGAAAUAAAAUUCUAUUUCUAGUCUAUUCAUUAGAAGAGAUAGUCAGUUAAUUACGGAUGUUAAUUAAUUUAUUUUUAAAAGUAUCUUUAAUAGUCAACUUGCACGUGAGUUGUAAUGAGAAAAAUACAAGUCAUUUUGUCAAGAAAAACCCUCAUGGUGGUGUUAUAUGGUAACAUAUUAUUAGUCUUUUAUCAAAAAAAAAAAAAACCCUCAUGGUGUUUUUGAAGAGUAUUUAGUAAUUUUGUUUCAAUUCAAGUCUGAUACGUAUAGAGGAUGGAGGGGGUCAGCCGACCGCACCUAAUUUAUAAAAUAUAAGUUUUUCUUUCAUAAAAAAAUAUUAUGACACCACCAAAUUUUAUAGUUUGACCCCAUAAAAAUAAAAAAAUAUGAAAACAAAAGCUUAAUUUAGCUGGGUAAUUAAUAAUUAGAGACUUGAACUCAUAUUUUAUUUCAAUUUUAUGCUUAUUUAUAAUUUAAAUUCACUUCAAAUACAAUAUAAAUAUUACAAAAUUGUAAAAUCUCAUAUAACUAUUAAUUUAUUACAUUUAAUUGUAUAAAUAGAACACAGUUUUUUGUAACGGAAAUAGAUCACAUUUUACAAUAAAAAUUAGUUUUUAAAGUCUCGACUCUCGACGCUUUGGCCGUUUGACAAUGUUAGUUAAUUGUCAUGAUAACUUCUACAACUUGCUGUCGUUUGUUUCUUUGGUUAAAGUUCACACACAUUCAUGGAUACCAUAAUCUAGGGAUUUGGUUACAAUUGUUUUUCCUAUAUGCAAAAAAAAACAAAACAAAACGAUAACAGAUAUAAGACUGUUAGAAACAACUACAAACCCUUGAUAAUAAGACGUGAAGACAAGAUAGUCAUCUCAGCUGAAGAAUGAAAAUUAUAAGUUGGAGUUGUUGCUUAAUUUUUUGUUGUAAUAGAGAGUUGAUUGCUGGAACAGUUUUCAAAGUCAAAUGAGUUUUAUAAAAAUUGAAUGACUUAGAAAAAUGGGUUAUCAAAUUAAUUUAUGAGAAAAUUUUAAAUGAUGUAUCGGCUAAGUGAAAAUGUAAACCUCCAACAAAGUUCAAUAGAUUUAGGCAACUAUAGAGAAUCAAUGAGAAAUUAUUAUAUAAAACUACACCACGUGGUUGUCCAAAAAAGGAAAAGGAAA